AAAUUUGGGCAACAAGAGUGAUUUGCUUCUCAAAUACAACCCUGUUCACAAGAAGGUUCCAGUGUUUGUUCACAAUGAGCAGCCCAUAGCAGAGUCUCUUGUGAUUGUUGAAUACAUUGAUGAGACAUGGAAGAACAACCCCAUCUUACCUUCUGAUCCUUACCAAAGAGCCUUGGCUCGUUUCUGGUCCAAAUUCAUUGAUGAUAAGGUAACUCAACAUUUCAAAAAUCUUCUUAGUUUUCAUGAUUUGUGCUGAUUUGUCAGCAAAACAUCACGAUGAAAUCUAUAUAUGUGAAAUCUUUCUGGUGUGGAAUAUAUAUGUGAAAUCUUUGAAUAUGUUAGAGAACUCAAAAGUCAACAGCCAACCAUGAUUUUUUUUUAAUGUAUCAACUUUUUGUAAAACAAUAUUAGUGAUUUGAAACUUUAUGGAAUCAUAUACUAUGAUUUUGGGAGAAAUUUUAUUUUAUUUUACUAUUUUUAUCUGGGGUGGGGGGAUUCUGUCACGUAUUUGUUUCUAUAUAACUCGAUCUAAAUUCUGUUUGUCCUAAUCACUUUAUGAAAUAAUUACUAAUAAAUAUUGUGAUUUGCGAAAUCAGAUUGUGGGUGCUGUAUCGAAAUCUGUUUUCACGGUUGAUGAGAAAGAGCGUGAGAAGAAUGUUGAAGAAACAUAUGAGGCUCUUCAGUUUCUUGAGAAUGAGCUGAAGGACAAGAAGUUUUUUGGAGGAGAGGAAUUUGGGUUGGUAGAUAUUGCUGCUGUCUUCAUAGCAUUUUGGAUCCCAAUUUUUCAGGAAAUAGCAGGGUUGCAGUUAUUCACCAGUGAGAAAUUUCCUAUACUCUACAAAUGGAGCCAAGAAUUCCUUAACCACCCUUUUGUGCACGAAGUCCUUCCUCCUAGAGACCCACUUUUUGCCUACUUCAAAGCCCGCUAUGAAAGUCUUUCUGCUUCAAAAUAGACUUAUUUAAGGAUAUUUGUUGAACAACUUGUGUCUUGUUGAGUUAUUGCUGUUUGAAUUUCAUGUAAAAUGAUACUAGCUAUAUGUAAAUCCCAGAAAAAAAAAAAAAAGAAUCCUAGGAUCUUGUUUUCGUUUUGGCCAUUUCAGUUAAUAAAGAAAUUAUAUUUUUCGAUAUAAAUUUUGUUGUGAAAAGCUUUAUUCUUCCUUCAUAAAAUCCUUCAAUGUGCAUAAUCUUAUUCGUAGAGAGACUUAGAGCGGCUAGUAGCUACUACCUUGAAAUUUUUUCUUUAAUUCGAAGGACAACGUAUAUAUUAUAUAAUAAUAAUUAUUGCAAGUUGGAAAUCGUGUAAGCAUGUUUCAUGACUAUAUGAGUUAACAAUAUACUGUCUUGCCUCUGCAACCUUCAUGGAUUCUAAAAUUAUUCCCUUGGCUGCAGUUGUUAUUUCAAUGUUGCAACAUGAGUUAACAAUACAUUGCAUUAACAUGAGUGAACAAUACAUUACGCAUGCUGUUUUUAAGGAUUGUUUUAUGAUUUUCUCUGCUGUUUUCUGUGCUGCACAAGUGAUGGCCUUUCAAUUUUCUGAUUUUUUGUUGUUGUUUAUAAACUGCUCUUUACUUUGGAGUACGACUUCACUAUUAAUUCAUGAGACAAUUGCUGAAUUGUUGAAGUCGUGAAAUAUCACUCGACUUCACUAUUAAUUAGUUUUGCAUUUUUAAUAUCACUUAGUUAUUAUUAAUUUAUGGUUUAGUAUUUUAGAAUAUUAGUGUUUAGUUAUUAUUAAUUUACGAUUUAGUUAGAUAAAUUAUUAUACAUGUUAAAUUAAUUUUGUUAAAUUAUUAUUUUGUGUUUUAGAAUAUUAGUGUUUAUUACGGUUUAGUUACAUAAAUUAUUAUAGAUGAUCAAUUAAUUUUGUUAAAUUAUUAUUUUAUGUUUUAGAAUAUUAGUGUUUAGUUAUUAUUAAUUUACGAUUUAGUUAGAUAAAUUAUUAUACAUGUUAAAUUAUUAUUUUGUGUUUUAGAAUAUUAGUGUUUAGUUAUCAUUAAUUUAUGGUUUAGUUACAUAAAUUAUUAUAGAUGAGCAAUUAAUUUUGUUAAAUUAUUAUUUUAUGUUUUAGAAUAAUACCGUUUAGUUAUUAUUAAUUUACAGUUUAGUUAUUAUUUUGUGUUUUAGAAUAUGAGUUAGACAAAUUAUUAUUACACUGUUCACUCCCGUGAAACCUAUAAAAAGAGAGUUCAUUCUCACUUCGAUGCAUCUGUUGCAUCCAAACAAUCACCCUAGUUCUCUGAUUUUGACGUGUUUCUUAGAGUCAUACUGACAUAAUUUUUUUAGUGUUACAUACAUGAAAAAGGUAUUUAAAAAUGUUUUAAUUUUUUACAUUACAUGUAAUCCAAUGAUUCCUUACUAAUCAAUAAUUUUUUUUUACAAAUGGCUACUGAAGAACCCAUAAUAAGAGAUAAUGUUAGUGACUUCAGUGAUGAUGAGCAACAACAUGAUUUUGGUGAACAUGGUGAACCAAGCAAUCAAAGUGAGUCAUCUUCAUAUUUUGAAACUAUUAGUAGCCAAAUUUCUAAAAAUCAAGAGUACUCAAAUCCUUAUCAAAGGACAACGAGUGUUAGUACAAAUGACCUUUAUGAAGGGUUGAUAUUUGAAUCAAAACAAGCCGCUGUGAAUGCCAUUAAACAAUUCCAUUUUAUGCAUUCAUUUAAUUUUGAUGUGGUCAAGAACAAGCGUGACAAGUAUGUUGUCAUGUGUAAUCAAUAUGGUAAUGGAUGUUAUUGGAGGGCGAGAGUAUCGUUCAGCAAAAUACGCAAAAGGUGGGAGCUGAAGAAAUUAAACGGUAUUCACACAUGCACAAAUUCUACCAUAUCACAAGAUCAUGUUAGGUUAGAUUCUUCUGUAAUUGCCCAUAAUAUUGUUCAUUUAGUGAAAACAAAUUCGGAUAUCGAAAUCAAAACCUUGAUUGCAGACAUGCAUCAACGGUUUCAUUACAUUGUUUCAUACAAAAAAGCAUGGACAGUAAACAAAAAGAUCUUGAAAUGGCAUUUGGAAGUUGGGAACAAUCAUAUAGUUACCUGCCUAUAUGGUUCACAGCUGCUCAACACUUUGUACCAGGUACCAUAGUAAAAUACACAACUUCAUCUUCAAUGGAGGAAGGUAACGAUAACCCUCUUAGGGUGAUUCUUAACCGUGUAUUUUAGGCGUUUAAUCCAUGCAUUGAAGGCUUCAAAUAUUGCAAGCCACUUGUGCAAGUAGAUGGGACAUUUUUAACUGGCAAAUACAAUGAUACUUUGUUGACUGCCAUCGGACAAGAUGGUAGUAGGGACAAUUUUCCACUUGCUUUUGCAAUUGUUGAGAGCGAGACUAAAGAAGCUUGGAUAUGGUUCUUGCAUUAUUUGUGAAGAUAUGUUACUCCGCAACCAAAUUUGUGUAUUAUAUCAGACAGGGGAACUGGUUUGCUAGCAACUUUACAAUCCAAACACGUUGGUUGGAAUGGACCAGAUGUUUCGUCUGUGUAUUGCAUUCGUCACAUUGCAUCAAAUUUCAACAAAUAGUUUAAAAAUGUUAACUUAAAAAAACAAGUCAUCAAUAUGGGUAUGUUUCUUCCUAUUUCAUGCAUCAUAUUCUUGCUUUAUUACAUGUUCACUAAAUUUUUUACUCAUUAUUCUAUCUUUUCGCACAGGGUAUGAGAUGAGGAAAUCAUGAUUUGAGGCUAAGUUGCUCGCUAGGCGAGCAGAGUUUCCACAAGCAGCAGAUUGGUUGGAUCAAAUUCGUAAGAGUAAAUUGACUCAGGCCUACGAUGAAGGAAAACGGUAUGGCCAUAUGACUACCAACCUUGUUGAAUGUAUGAAUUCUGUUUUGAAAGGAGCCCGAACAUUACCUAUUACUGCCUUAGUCAAUGAAACAUUUAAUAAAAUAAAUGAUUCAUUUGUCACUAACGACAUCAAAAUCAUGAAUAUGAUAAAGGCAGGGCAUAGGUACUCCGAAGACGUAUAUGUCAUGAUGCAAGAAAAUCAACACAUUGCUACCUCACAUUAUGUUCGCAUGUAUGUUCGAGAAACAAAGGAGUUUGAGGUUCAAGAAAUUGCAAAUACGCGACUUGGUCGACGAGGAAUGGCAUGCACUGUCAAAUUGAAUGAAUGGUUGUGUGAUUAUGGACAAUUUCAAGCACUUCGACUACCUUGCUCACAUGCAAUUGCAGCGUGUGCUUUUUGCAAUUUAAAUUAUGAUGACUUUGUUGACCCUGUAUACAAGUUGGAAAAUAUUUUCAAAGUUUAUCAACAUCAUUUUCAUUCCCUUGGAAGUGAAGACACGUGGCCUCAAUAUUUAGGUCCGCAUUUUAUGUCUGAUCCUUCGAAACGACGACAGAUAUCAGGCAGGCCAGCCACUACUCGGAUACAUAAUGAGAUGGAUGAAUCAAUUCCAAAUAGGCUUAAGAAAUGCUCAUUAUGUAAAACUGAAGGACAUAAUCAGAGUAACUGUCCAUACAAACAAGUACAUAACUAAAAUAACUUGUAAUUUUUAUGUUUUUCUUUCAUUUGUAUUGUGCGUUUUAUAUUAAUGUAUUAAUUAUGUUGUUUUUAAUUUUUAUUGAUAAAUUAUUUAAACUUUAAAUAAAAAACAUUUAAAGUAAACUAUAAUAAAAAUAUAUAUAACAUGUUUUAAAUAAUUAAACAUUAAAAUAAAAUAAUAACAUAUCAAAUAAAAUCACAAAAAAUAUACUAAUGAAAUCAACUUAAUAUUAUUUAUUAUAUAUUUAAAUAUAUAUUUUUUAACUUUUUUAUUUUAAAAAAAUAAAAUUGUUAACAUUAUAAAAUUAAAAAACAAAUUUAUGAAAAAAAAGGUUAACAAAUUAAAAACAAACUACAAAUAGUAAAAUAACGUUUUUAAAAAAAAAAGGAGGUUACGAUCUCAAAAUCGUAUACCUCAUGAAAUUUUUAAAAAAUAAGUAAGACAGUUUUACAACUUUAAAGUAAUAAAACAAAAUACGAGUUUUUUUUUAAUACGACUUUAAAGUCGUAAAAAAAUUAUAUUUACAUUGAAGUUGUAAAUAUUUUUACGAUUUCAGUUAAAAAAAUAAGAAAACUAAAAAGUCGUAAUAGGUGCUAACAACUGUUACAACUUAACCCGUUUUAGAUAAUUUUUUAAAAUAUACCCCAAAUGAAAAAUUGCGGAUUAUUUUAUCCCCAAUUGGUAAAAAAGCACCUGAAUACUAGAAACAAGGGUGGUCAAAGAUUCAAAGUAAUGAAUUUAUAAAAAAAAAAAGAAAAUAUUUAUAUAAUUACACAAAAUCUUAAAAAAUGUUGUUAUUAUUUACUCUAAUUUAUAAUUUGAAUUUAGGAUCGAGUAUAUUUAAGGAAAGUUCUCUACGCGGUUUACGUAAUCUCUUACAUCAUUUAUUUUUCCACGUUUGUUUACUCUGAGGAAUCUUCUUGAUAGGGGAAAGUUUUUUCAUAUUUUUUCUAGAUCCUUCUCAUGUGCAAUGUCUCCGCAUUCAUACGCAGCAAUCAAAAUGGAAUUAAUACACGGUAGCACUUUCCCAUUUUUUUGUUAUCGUCCCCACUAUUGACUAUACCCAUGAUAUGUAUAUAGGUAUAUCUUUUCUAAUUGAUUACGUAUCUGCUGAAUACUAGCUAGUCCUGAUUCCUAGCUCUAUAAAAGGAGAAUACCAUAGGAAUUCAUCACAGACAAACAAACAAUUUACCAGCUAUACUUGUUCCUUUUGAAGGUUAGAAGUGCUACAAUACAAACAAUGGCAGCUACUCAGGAAGAUGUGAAGCUUUUGGGUAUUGUGGGAAGCCCAUUUGUGUGCAGGGUCCAGAUUGCCCUUAAGUUGAAGGGAGUUGAAUACAAAUUUUUGGAAGAAAAUUUGGGCAACAAGAGUGAUUUGCUUCUCAAAUACAACCCUGUUCACAAGAAGGUUCCAGUGUUUGUUCACAAUGAGCAGCCCAUAGCAGAGUCUCUUGUGAUUGUUGAAUACAUUGAUGAGACAUGGAAGAACAACCCCAUCUUACCUUCUGAUCCUUACCAAAGAGCCUUGGCUCGUUUCUGGUCCAAAUUCAUUGAUGAUAAGGUAACUCAACAUUUCAAAAAUCUUCUUAGUUUUCAUGAUUUGUGCUGAUUUGUCAGCAAAACAUCACGAUGAAAUCUAUAUAUGUGAAAUCUUUCUGGUGUGGAAUAUAUAUGUGAAAUCUUUGAAUAUGUUAGAGAACUCAAAAGUCAACAGCCAACCAUGAUUUUUUUUAAUGUAUCAACUUUUUGUAAAACGAUAUUAGUGAUUUGAAACUUUAUGGAAUCAUAUACUAUGACUUUGGGAGAAAUUUUAUUUUAUUUUACUAUUUUUAUUUGGGGUGGGGGGAUUCUGUCAAGUAUUUGUUUCUAUAUAACUCGAUCUAAAUUCUGUUUGUCCUAAUCACUUUAAGAAAUAAUUACUAAUAAAUAAUGUGAUUUGCGAAAUCAGAUUGUGGGUGCAGUAUGGAAAUCUGUUUUCACGGUUGAUGAGAAAGAGCGUGAGAAGAAUGUUGAAGAAACAUAUGAGGCUCUUCAGUUUCUUGAGAAUGAACUGAAGGACAAGAAGUUUUUUGGAGGAGAGGAAUUUGGGUUGGUAGAUAUUGCUGCUGUCUUCAUAGCAUUUUGGAUCCCAAUUUUUCAGGAAAUAGCAGGGUUGCAGUUAUUCACCAGUGAGAAAUUUCCUAUACUCUACAAAUGGAGCGAAGAAUCCCUUAACCACCCUUUAGUGCAAGAAGUCCUUCCUCCUAGAGACCCACUUUUUACCUUCUUCAAAGCCCGCUAUGAAAGUCUUUCUGCUUCAAAAUAGACUUAUUUAAGGAUAUUUGUUGAACAACUUGUGUCUUGUUGAGUUAUUGAUGUUUGAAUUUCAUGUCAAAUGAUACUAGCUAUAUGUAAAUCCCAAAAAAAAAAAAAAAGAAUCCUAGGAUCUUGUUUUCGUUUUGGCCAUUUCAGUUAAUAAAGAAAUUAUAUUUUUCGAUAUAAAUUUUGUUGUGAGAAGCUUUAUUCUUCCUUCAUUAAAUCCUUCAAUGUGCAUAAUCUUAUUCGUAGAGAGACUUAGAGCGGCUAGUAGCUACUACCUUAAAAAUUUUGCUUCAAUUCGAAGGACAACGUAUAUAUUAUGUAAUAUGUAAUUAAAUUUCAGCCAUACAAUUAUUUGUGUCUCUGGUUGACUUAAUGUUGUUCAAAUUUGAUGUCAAAUUGACACUUAAAGUAAUAUGUAAUAUGAUUUCCUAAGUUCUCUUUUGCUUGCCAAGCAGCAACAUGAAAAGCUGUGUGAAACAUAGAAUUUAUAGUUUAUUGAGAUAAAAGAGCCGAGUGAAAAAAAAAUCAUGGUGUGACUCUCAGAUAAACCACAAGUUGAGAUUGUUGACCACUGAAAAUUUUCAAAAACUCCACAAAAAUGGAGUCAGGAAUCAGGAGGAUUCACCAACCAACCAACAACAUAAUAAAUCAAUUGAAUCUAAAAGGAAGAGUAUUAGUAAGUAAUAACACGUUCUCUAAUACAUUUUUAAGACACUUUUUUUUUAUAAAGAAAUCUGUAUAGUAAAUUUUAAAUUAAAUAAUAAAUUGUUAAUAAAAUAUAAAGCACCAUUAAAUUUUUUUUAUUUUUAGAAUUAUUUGUUUACAUGCAGAAAUAAUUAUUAAUUCUUAAGUAUCCCUUAAAAGGAUAUAAGAAAAUUAGUGUUUAUAACACACAUUUAUUGUAGGGGUGUUCAAAUCUAAACAAAUCCAAAAAUAAAUCACAAAAAUUGAUAAAAAAAAAACUUCAAACCAAUAAAAAUUUAUUUGUUUUGGAAUUUUUUAUUACUAUUUUGUAUAAUCAAUCAGGUUUGAAUUUGGAUGAUAUUUUCAAAAUUGAACCAAUUCAAAUCAAACCUCACAUUAUAUUAACAUCAAUCUUACUAGGUAUUGAGCAUUAGGUAAUUGUAUUUUAAACUUUUAAUAGUUAUAAUAUAUAAUUUAUAAUUUAAUUCUUUUUAUAAGAUGUUCAUAAUAUGUGGUUUUUAUUAUUCUAUUAAUAAUAAAUAUUAAAUUAAUUUAUAAUAUUUUUUGCUCUGUAAUUUGAUCUGCAUAAUUUACUUUUACAUGUUACAGAAAGAGCAUAGCAAUAUAGUUGAAGAAUAAUGCUAAAUAUCAAAUAUUAUGCAAGUUACUUUUACAUCACAAGAUGAUGAUGCCAAUAUAAUUAAGAAAAAAUGUUAAACAGUAGUAAAAAGUAUUGUUUUUCAAAUUUUAAAAAGAGAUAGAAAAGAAAAUUUAUAUUUUAGAUCAGUAUAGCAUAAUAAUAAUUAUGUAAAUUUAGUUAUUAAAUUUUAUAUUGUAUUUAUAAAUUUUAAAAAACAUAAAUUCAUCAAACUGAACUGUAAAAAAUUAGUUUGGUUUAAUUUAAAUUUCAUGUUACUUUUAAAUUCAACUAAUCCAAAUCACAUAUUAAUUCUAUGUUUGGUUAUUAUUUUUCUUCUAAAAAUCAAACUAAAUCGCAUUACAUAUACCAUGUGUUUUCAGUUUGAAGAGAAAGAAGUGACGAGAGUUUUAAGGGAAAAGUGAAAAAAAAUGUGGGACUUAUUUAAAAAAAUGAAAUGACUCAUCUGGUUAUCUAUCAUUUUAUUUUGAAAUAUGUAAAUAUAAUAUUAAUACGAAUAAAUACAUAUUUACAACAAACACACAUUUUUCUAUUUCUUCUAUUUAUUUCUACUUGUCUCAAUCCAAGUAACUUAAAAAUCUUCUCAUUAAAUACUCAUUCUCUCUUCUAUUCUCUUCUCUUUUAAAUCUUUUUAAAAUUUUCUCUCAUUUUUUCCAUACGCUUUGGCAUGCACGAGCAUUGCAAUAGGACCUUCUUUGACAUCUCACAAGAAUGUUAGCACCUCAAAUCAUUUAUCAUACAAACAAAACAUUAACGCACUAUAAUUCAUUUGUAUUAAAUAUAAGAUUUAAAUAUAAUUUUAAUAUUAAUCCUUAAAAAAUAAGACCAUUUUGACUUUGGUCUUUUAAAAAAAUUAUUUUAAUUUUAGUCCAUGUAAAAUUUUUUUUUUUAAAUCUUUAUUGUCAAAUAGCAACAUUAACUGAUAUGAUAACUACAAUAUUUCACAUAAUUAUGAAAUCUUAAAGAAUAGGUACAUCUAAUAUGCUUAAAACUGAGUAAGUAUAUCAGACUGGUCGAUAAGAUUUUUUUUUUUUUAUGUAAUUUGAUGAGAUAUAUUAAAACAUAGUUUAUUAAAAAGUAUAUGCAUAAUUGUUUUGUCAUGCUUUUUAAUUACGUGGCAAAGUCAAUAAAAUCUAAAUAUCAUUGUUAUGUCAUCAAAUUGGAUCAUUUGACAGAGACUAAAACUAAACAUAUUAAAUUUUACGUGAACUAAAUCAAAAUAAUAUUAUUUUUCAGAAUAUAAAAAUCAUAUUUAUGCCUAAUAAGAAAUUACAUAAUCUCUUGCAUCAUUUUUUCUCUCUCUUCAUAUAUAGGUGCAUAAAAUUAUUUUGAUGAGGAAGGUUUCUUCAAUAUUUUCAAAAUCCUCCUUCAAUUUAGUGAUUGCGGUAGAUAUUCAAUUAGAAAAAAUAUCUCUUAGUAAAAUCAAUAUCAUUGAUUAUUUUUUUAGAAUUCCUAUAUUGCAUGUUAUGAUAAUUUAUAGAAUAAAUCAUAGCAAUACUCGUUGAACUUUUAUCAAAUUAUACAUAAUUUUAUCCUUUUUUAUUUUCCUAGACUUCUUUUUUUAAGUUUGAAAACAUUAUAUUGACGUCUCUUUAAAUGUUUGAAAACAUUACACUACAAUAAUCUUCCUUUAAUUUUCAAAAUAUUACAUUGACACUUUCUUAUAUGUUUAAAAAUGCUAUUGUAAUAUUCCUUCAAAUCUUACACUAAUAUUUCUUAUAAGAAAUGUCAAAAGUAAUGAUCCUAUAAAAAGAUGUAUAAUUAUAUUAAAUUUUUAUAGAUGUUGUUGUAAUUUACUCUAAUGUAUUCAUCUUUUGUUCUAAAAUAAUUAUUGUGUGAAAAAAAUAUUUAUUCUAAAAUAAGUAUCAUUUUAAAUUUUUAAAGUAACUUUUAUUAUUUUUUCUAUUCAUAUUCCUUAUAAUAUUAAUGAUAUGGGUAACAAAAAUUAAUAUUAAUGAUAUGGGUAACAAAAAUUAAAAGUGAAUUAAUGGUGAUAAAGUUAAAUUUAAAAAAAUGUUAUUUUUUUAUCUAUUUAUUAAUUUUUUUUAUUUGUGUAAAAUAAUCUAGUAUGAUAAUUAUAAAUAAUGAAAUAAGAAAGUAUUUUUUUUUUGUUGACAACAACCAUAAUCACUCCUUUUCAAGGGUGUGUAUUUUAUGGGAUCGAAUAAAACCACGGUGUGUGUUACUAUCUAAGUUUUAUCUAUGGAGUAAAAAGUACAUAUUUGACUAUUCAUUAGGAGAAUAUAUAUAAAAAAAAUUCUAUACGGUUUACGUAAUCUCUUACAUCAUUUAUUUUCCCACAUUCUAUAAAUAUAUAAUACAUCUUAUCUAACUGAUGACGUAUCCGCUGAAUACUAGUCCUGAUUCCCGGCUCAAUAAGAGGAGAAUACCUUAGGAAUCCAUAAGAAACAUUAAUUCACCACUAUAGUUGUUCCUUUUGAAGGUUAGAAGUGCUACAAUGGCUGCUAAUCAGGAAGAUACUCAGGAAGAUGUGAAGCUUUUGGGUAUUGUGGGAAGCCCAUUUGUGUGCAGGGUGAAGAUUGCCCUCAAGUUGAAGGGAGUUCAAUACAAAUUUUUGGAACAAAAUUUGAGGAACAAGAGUGAACUGCUUCUCAAAUCCAACCCAGUUCACAAGAAGGUUCCAGUGUUUAUUCACAAUGAGAAGCCCAUAGCAGAAUCCCUUGUGAUUGUUGAGUACAUUGAUGAGACAUGGAAGAACAACCCCAUCUUACCUUCUGAUCCUUACCAAAGAACCUUGGCUCGUUUCUGGUCCAAAUUCAUUGAUGACAAGGUAACUCAACAUUUCAAAAAUCUUCUUAGUUUUCAUGAUUUGUGCUGAUUUGUCAGCUAAACAUCACGAUGACAUCUAUAUAUGUGAAAUCUUUUUGGUGAGGAAUAUAUAUGUGAAAUCUUUCAAUAUGAUAGAGAACUCAAAAGUCAACAGCCAACCAUGAUUUUUUUUAAUGUAUCAACUUUUUGUAAAACGAUAUUAGUGAUUUGAAACUUUAUGGAAUCAUAUACUAUGAUUUUGGGAGAAAUUUUAUUUUAUUUUACUAUUUUUAUUUCGGGUGGGGGGAUUCUGUCACGUAUUUGUUUCUAUAUAACUCGAUCUAAAUUCUGUUUGUCCUAAUCACUUUAAGAAAUAAUUACUAAUAAAUAAUGUGAUUUGCGAAAUCAGAUUGUGGGUGCUGUAUUGAAAUCUGUUUUCACGGUUGAUGAGAAAGAGCGUGAGAAGAAUGUUGAAGAAACAUAUGAGGCUCUUCAGUUUCUUGAGAAUGAGCUGAAGGACAAGAAGUUUUUUGGAGGAGAGGAAUUUGGGUUGGUAGAUAUUGCUGCUGUCUUCAUAGCAUUUUGGAUCCCAAUUUUUCAGGAAAUAGCAGGGUUGCAGUUAUUCACUAGUGAGAAAUUUCCUAUACUCUACAAAUGGAGCCAAGAAUUCCUUAACCACCCUCUUGUGCAAGAAGUCCUUCCUCCUAGAGACCCACUUUUUACCUUCUUCAAAGCCCGCUAUGAAAGUCUUUCUGCUUCAAAAUAGACUUAUUUAAGGAUUUUUGUUGAAUAACUUGUAACUUGUUGAGUUAUUGCUGUUUGAAUUUCGUGUCAAAUGAUACUAGCUAUAUGUAAAUCCCAGAAAGAAAAAAAAAGAAUCCUAGGAUCUUGUUUUCGUUUUGGCCAUUUCAGUUAAUAAAGAAAUUAUAUUUUUCGAUAAUAUCAAUCUUACUUACACACAUUCAAAUCAAACCACACAUUAUAUUAAUAUCAAUCUUACUUACACACAUUAUAUUAAUAUCAAUCUUACUUACUAGGUAUUGAGCAUUAGGUAAUUGUAUUUCAAACUUUUAAUAGUUAUAAUAUAUAAUUUAUAAUUUAAUUCUUUUUAUAAGAGGUUCAUAAUAUGUGGUUUUUAUUAUUCUAUUAAUAAUAAAUAUUAAAUUAAUUUAUAAUAUUUUUUGCUCUGUAAUUUGAUCUGCAUAAUUUACUUUUACAUGUUACAGAAAGAGCGUAGCAAUAUAGUUGAAGAAUAAUGCUAAAUAUCAAAUAUUAUGCAAGUUACUUUUACAUCCCAAGAUGAUGAUGCCAAUAAUAUAUAAUUAAGAAAUAAUGUUAAACAGUAGUAAAAAGUAUUGUUUUUCAACUAAAAUAUUUUAAAAAGAGAUAGAAAAGAAAAUUUAUAUUUUAGAUCAGUAUAGCAUAAUAAUAAUUAUGUAAAUUUAGUUAUUAAAUUUUAUAUUGUAUUUAUAAAUUUUAAAAAACAAAAAUUCAUCAAACUGGUCUGAAUCAAACUGUAAAAAAUUAAUUUGGUUUAAUUUAAAUUUCAUGUUACUUUUAAAUUCAACUAAACCAAAUCACAUAUUAAUUCUAUGUUUGGUUAUUAUUUUUCUUCUAAAAAUCAAAUUAAAUCGCAUUACAUAUACCAUGCUUGUUUUCAGUUUGAAGAGAAAGAAGUGACGAGAGUUUAAAGGGAAAAGUGAAAAAAAAUGUGGGACUUAUUUAAAAAAAUGAAAUGAAUCAUCUGGUUAUCUAUCAUUUUAUUUUGAACUGUGUAAAUAUAAUAUUAUUAGGAAUAAAUACAUAUUUACAACAAACACACAUUUUUCUAUUUCUUCUAUUUAUUUCUACUUGUCUCAAUCCAAAUAACUUAAAAAUCUUCUCAUUAAAUACUCAUUCUCUAUUCUAUUCUCUUCUCCUCUUUUAAAUCUUUUUAAAAUUUUCUCUCGUUUUUUCCAUAAGCUUUGGCAUGCACGAGCAUUGCAAUAGGACCUUCUUUGACAUCUCACAAGAAUGUUGGCACCUCAAAUCAUUUAUCAUCCAAACAAAACAUUAACGCACUAUAAUUCAUUUGUAUUAAAUAUAAUUUUAAUCCUUAAAAAAUAAGACCAUUUUGAUUUUGUUCUUUUAAAAAAAUUAUUUUAAUUUUAGUCCAUGUAAAAUUUAAUUUUUUUUUCAAUCCUUAUUGUGAAAUAGCAACAUUAACUGAUAUGAUAACUACAAUAUUUCCCAUAAUUAUGAAAUCUUAAAGAAUAGGUACAUCUAAUAUGCUUAAAACUGAGUAAGUAUAUCAGACUGGUCGAUAAGAUAUUUUUUUUUUUAUGUAAUUUGAUGAGAUAUAUAAAAACAUAGUUUAUUAAAAAGUAUAUGCAUAAUCGUUUUGUCAUGCUUUUUAAUUACGUGACUAGUCAAUAAAAUCUAAAUAUCACUGUUAUGUCAUCCUGCAUCAUUUGAGAGAGACUAAAACUAAACAUAUUAAAUUUUACAUGAACUAAAUCAAAAUAAUAUUAUUUUUCAGAAUAUAAAAAUCAUAUUUAUGCCUAAUAAGAAAUUACAUAAUCUCUUGCAUCAUUUUUUCUCUCUCUUCAUAUAUAGGUGCAUAAAAUUAUUUUGAUGAGGAAGGUUUCUUCAAUAUUUUCAAAAUCCUCCUUCAAUUUAGUGAUUGCGGUAGAUAUUCAAUUAGAAAAAAUAUCUCUUAGUAAAAUCAAUAUCAUUGAUUAUUUUUUUAGAAUUCCUUUAUUGCAUGUUAUGAUAAUUUAUAGAAUAAAUCAUAGCAUUACUCGUUGAACUUUUAUCAAACUAUACAUAAUUUUAUCCUUUUUUAUUUUCCUAGACUUCUUUUUUUUAAGUUUGAAAAUAUUAUAUUAACACCUCUUUAAAUGUUUGAAAACAUUACACUACAAUAACCUUCCUUUAAUUUUCAAAAUAUUACAUUGACACUUUCUUAUAUGUUUAAAAAUACUAUUGUGAUACUCCAUCAAAUCUUACACUAAUAUUCCUUAUAGAAAAUGUUAAAAGUAAUGAUAAUAUAAAAAGAUGUAUAAUUAUAUUAAAUGUUUACGGAUGUUGUUGUAAUUUACUCUAAUGUAUUCAUCUUUUGUUCCAAAAUAAUUAUUGUGUGAAAAAAAUAUUUAUUUUAAAAUAAGUAUCAUUUUAAACUUUUAAAGUAACUUUUAUUAUUUUUUUAUUCAUAUUCCUUAUAAUAUUAAUGAUAUGGGUAACAAAAAUUAAAAGUGAAUUAAUGGUGAUAAAGUUAAAUUUAAAAAAAUGUUAUUUUUUUAUCUAUUUAUUAAUUUUUUUUAUUUGUGUAAAAUAAUAUAAUUAUAAAUAAUGAAAUAAGAAAGUAUUUUUUUUUUUGUUGACAACAACCAUAAUCACUCCUUUUCAAGGGUGUGUAUUUUAUGGGAUCGAAUAAAACCACGGUGUGUGUUACUAUCUAAGUUUUAUCUAUGGAGUAAAAAGUAAAUAUUUGACUAUUCAUUAGGAGAAUAUAUAUAAAAAAAAUUCUAUACGGUUUACGUAAUCUCUUACAUCAUUUAUUUUUCCACAUUCUAUAAAUAUAUAAUACAUCUUAUCUAACUGAUGACGUAUCCGCUGAAUACUAGUCCUGAUUCCCGGCUCAAUAAAAGGAGAAUACCUUAGGAAUCCAUAAGAAACAUUAAUUCACCACUAUAGUUGUUCUGUUAAAAGUGCUACAAACAACAAUGGCUGCUAAUCAGGAAGAUGUGAAGCUUUUGGGAGUUGCAGAAAGCCCAUUUGUGUGCAGGGUUCAGAUUGCCCUCAAGUUGAAGGGAGUUCAAUACAAAUUUUUGGAACAAAAUUUGAGGAACAAGAGUGAACUGCUUCUCAAAUCCAACCCAGUUCACAAGAAGGUUCCAGUGUUUAUUCACAAUGAGAAGCCCAUAGCAGAAUCCCUUGUGAUUGUUGAGUACAUUGAUGAGACGUGGAAGAACAACCCCAUCUUGCCUUCUGAUCCUUACCAAAGAGCCUUGGCUCGUUUCUGGUCCAAAUUCAUUGAUGACAAGGUAACUCUACUUUUCUUCUUUUCUUGCUUUGUUACUGAUUUAUCCCCAAAACACCACCUUUCAUUACAUCGAUCUAAAUUAUUUUGCCCUCAUGAUUAUUUAUCAAAAUAUUACUAGUAAAUAAUGUGAUUUGUCAAAUUAGGUUGUGGGUGCUGCAUGGAAAUAUAUUUAUACUGUUGAUGAGAAAGAGCGUGAGAAGAAUGUUGAAGAGUCAUAUGAGGCUCUGCAGUUUCUUGAGAAUGAGCUGAAGGACAAGAAGUUUUUUGGAGGAGAGGAAAUUGGGUUGGUAGAUAUUGCUGCUGUCUUCAUAGCAUUUUGGAUCCCUAUAAUUCAAGAAGUAUUGGGUUUGAAGUUAUUCACAAGUGAGAAAUUUCCUAAGCUCUACAAAUGGAGCCAAGAGUUCAUCAACCACCCUGUUGUCAAACAAGUCCUUCCUCCUAGAGAUCAACUUUUUGCCUUCUACAAAGCCUGCCAUGAAAGUCUUUCUGCUUCAAAAUAGACUUAUUUAAGGAUAGUUGUGUGAACUACUGGUCUCUCAUUUGUGAGUUAUUGCAGUUUGAAUUUCAUGUCAAUUUGGUUUUAUAUGUAAUUUAGUAACCUGGGAUAUCUCCCAUGGAGAAAAUAAUCCUUGGAUCUUGUUUCCAUUUUGGCCAUUUCAGUUAAUAAAGAAAUUCAUUUUUUCCAAAUAAAUUUUAUAGUGAAAAGCCUUUGUCUUCCUUUAUAAAAUCCUUCAAUGUGCAUAAUCUUAAUAUUGGUAGACUUGGAGCGACUAGCCAGCUACUACCUUGAAAGUUUUAUUGCCUCAAUUCGAAGGACAACGUAUAUAAUAUCAUAUGUAAAUUCCAGCCUUAAAACUAUUUGAGUCUCUCGACUUAAUGCUGUUCGAAUUUCAUGAUUGUCACUUACAAUUAUAUGUAAUGUGUGAUCUUUGCUAAUUAAAUUCUCUUUUGCUUGCCAGCAACAUGAAAAGCUGUAUGAAACAGAGAAUUUGUAGUUUCUUUAAACAUGAAAAGAGCCUAGUCAAAUAUGUUUAUUAUUAUUUUUAUUUAUGGUGUGACUCUCUUUAAUUGGCUCCCUAUUCUCCGACAAGCCACCAGGUUGAGAUCGUUGACCACUGAAAAAUUUCCAAAACUCCACAAAAAUGGAGUCAUGGAUUCACCAACCAAACCAUCCAUCCCUAGAACAUUAUAAAUCAAUUCGAUCUAAAAGAAGAGUAUUAGUAAGUAAUAAUACCUUCUCUAAUACAUUUUUAAGGCACUUUUUUAUUAUUAAGUAAUUUGUAGUAAAUUUUAAAUUAAAUAAUCGAUUGUUAUUAAAAAUAUAUAACAUCAUUAAAGAUUUUUAGAAUUAUUUGUUUUCAUGUAGAAAUAAUUAGGUGGCACCAUCUACAUCAAAAUGGAAAUGAUACGUGACAGCACUUUCCCAUUUUUUUCUUAUCGUCCCCACUAUUGACUAUGUCCAUGAUAUGUAUAUGUAAUGGAUAUAAUAUAAUAUAGGUAUAUCUUUUCUAAUUGAUCACGUAUCCUCUGAAUACUAGUCCUGAUUCCUGGCUCUAGAAAAUAAAACCUUAGGACCCAUCACAGACAAAGAAGCAAUUAAUUCACCAGCUACAUAGUUUUUCUGUUUGAAGUGCUACAAACAAUGGCAGCUAAUCAGGAAGAUGUGACGCUUUUGGGAGUUGUUGGAAGCCCGUUUGUGUGCAGGGUCCAGAUUGCCCUCAAAUUGAAGGGAAUUGAAUGCAAAUUUUUGGAAGAAAAUUUGGCAAACAAGAGUGAUCUACUUCUCAAAUCCAACCCCGUUUACAAGAAGGUUCCAGUGUUUAUUCACAAUGAGAAGCCCAUAGCAGAGUCUCUUGUGAUUGUUGAGUACAUUGAUGAGACAUGGAAGAACAACCCCAUCUUGCCUUCUGAUCCUUACCAAAGAUCCUUUGCUCGGUUUUGGUCCAAGUUCAUAGAUGACAAGGUAACUCAAAUUUCAAAAUAAAAUAAAAUUCAUGCUUUGGGCUUAUUUAUCCCCAAAUAAUCACCUUUCGUGACAUCUAACUGUGAAAUGUUAGAAUAUGUUAGAGAACUCAAUACUACCUCAAAUUCAUCUAACAGCUUACCAUGAGCUCUUUUUAAUUUGUACUAUAUUUGUCCUAAUUUGUACUAUCAUAUAAGUGAAUCCAUAACCUGUUUGUCCUCAUUACUUUAUAAAAUACUAAUUACUAAAAAUUAAUCUUAUUUGUGAAAUCAGAUUGUGGGUGCUUCAUGGAAAUCUGUUUUCACGGUUGAUGAGAAAGAGCGUGAGAAGAAUGUUGAAGAAUCGUUGGAGGCUCUGCAGUUUCUUGAGAAUGAACUACAAGACAAAAGGUUCUUUGGAGGAGAUGAAUUUGGAUUUGUAGAUAUUGCUGGUGUCUUCAUUGCAUUUUCAAUCCCAAUUUUCCAAGAAGUAGCAGGGUUGCAAUUAUUCACCAGUGAGAAAUUUCCUAAGCUCUUCAAAUGGAGCCAAGAGUUGAUCAACCACCCUGUUGUCAAAGAUGUCCUUCCUCCUAGAGAACCACUUUUUGCCUUCUUCAAAUCCCUCUAUGAAAGCCUUUCUGCUUCAAAAUAGAUUGUUUAAGAAUGAUUGUGUGAACUACUUGUCGCUCAUUGAAUUAUUGUUGUUUGAAUUUCAUGUCAAUUUGAUACUAUAUGUAAUUUAGUAACCUGGGAUAUUAGGAUAUCCCCAAGGAACAAAGAAUCCUAGGAUUUUGUUUCCAUUUUGGCCAUUUCAGUUAAUAAUUAAAGAAACUCUAUUUUUUCUUGAUACAAAUUUUAUAGCGAAAGCUUUUGUCUUCCUUUGUUAAUUAAGACGAAAGCUGGCAUGUAUAAGGCUACUAGCAUAUCAAGCACCGUGUGAAAGAAUUUACGACAGUAAGAUAUAGUUAUUACAAUAACAGAAUUAAGACAUUUCAUUCAUGAUAAUUUGAUAAAUACAAGAAGGGAUAUAAUGAAAAUCUUGUCUUCAUUUUCGUGAUUUUAGUUAAUUUUAUUUUUCUAUUCUCUCUUAUAUUUUGUGCUUCUUAUGUAAAACUCUCUUUUUUACCCAAGUAAAAUAAUUUUAUUGGGAAAGAUAUCAAACUUAGCACAAGUGAUGACAAAAACUUGCCAGCUGUAAGGACAAUUACAAGUUGGGUUGGGCAGAGUGAGCUAAAAUAGUUUGAGCUUAAAUUUUUAUAAUAUAGACCGAUCAAUCAUUGGGCUAAUGGGACCAACCCCUUUUAAGACCCCUACCUUCAGGCAAUUGCUUCCUACACCGUUAGAUUUUUUCUACACCCAACAAUAUAAUUGAAUUGUUGAUUUUGCUCUUACACCCCUACACGCAUCCCCUUCCUCCUCUGCCGCUUCUGUUUUUACUCUCCCUUCUCCCUUCUUGCGCAGUGAUCUCCCCUCUUUCACUCCUCUGUUUAACUUCACUUGUUGGUGUUUCCUUCUACCGCUUUUACGUCACCGUCACCGUCAUUAUUAUUGUAAGUAGUUUUCUUCCAAUUUUUCUACAUUAAAGAAUCGGUAUCAUUCAUACGGAUGGUCAUUCAUACAGAUGGUCAAUCAGUAUGAACUAUUUUAAAAAAAUAAUUAAAAAUAGAUAUUUUAAUGUUUUUUUAAUAAAUUUAAUUAUAACUUUUUAUAAUUAUUACAUUAAAUUGAUUCUUUAUUUUUGACUUUAUUACAAUUAAUUUUGAUUUAAUAAUAAUUUUUUAAAAUAUAUAAAUUUUAAAUAAAAAUCAUAUAUUUAAUAAAAAUUUAUAUAUGUAAAAUAUAUAUUAUUAGAUCAAAAUUUAUUAUAUAGAUUUAUAUGUGUAUUAAAUAUACAUUAGAAAUUUUAUUAUUAUAUAUAAUAAAAUUACUUAUUUUAUAACAUAAUUAAUCUAUUAACUUAGUUGAUUAAAAUAUUGUGAUAAUAACAUAAAAAUUACAUUUUCGAAUUUUGGGAUAAUAACCUUACAUAUUAACUAUUCAUAUGAACUUUACACAAGAAUAAUGUUAAAAUUCUAAAAAAUCUACCCGAUAUAAAAGAAAAAGGAUGAGUGGAGGAAGAAAACGUCCUACCUUCAAGGGAAAAAUGUCCUACCUUCAAGGGAAAAAAUCUUGUUCUUGAUGCAUUCCCAAACUAACAGAGGGAUUUACUCCAUUGAGAAAUUUUAUUAAAUGCAUCUUACCCAUCCAUAUGUUUGAUUUUAUUUUUUUUACCGCUCACCACUUUUCAUCAAAUAACAUGAAACCAAUUGAGCUUAUAAUUAUGGAUUGGGGAGAGGUGGCGUGAAACUAAGCAGGGGCCGACGAAUAGAUAAUUACGGAAAGAUGGAGGGAAGAAGACAAGUAAGAAAAGGAAAAAGAGAAAAAGAGAAAAAGAAAAGAAAAGACAGAAAAAUGAGCAGGACCAAAAGAAAAGACAAACAAAGAGAUGAUACUCUCUGCAUAAAUGACGUUUAAUGGUUCUUUAUAGAAAUAACGAAAAUCUUUAGAACUGAUUUUAUGGUAUUAAUUAUUUAUUAGAGUAAAAUUAUAAUAAAAAACUAUAUUUUAUCAGAAACCUAAAGCGUCGUUUAAUGAAUUCUUUUAGGAAAAAUAUGUUUUAUUUUUCAUACUUUUAUAAAAUCUUAUUUUUAGUUGUUGAAAUUUCAUACCAUCUAAUUUAACCCAUGUAUUUUAUAAAAAAAAUUGUUUUUAAAUUCUUUUUACAAAAUUCUUACAAACAACGUUGUUAACGUCUAUUUAACGUGACAAAUAAGCAAAGUAUAUUUUUUUUUAUUUUUUAAAUUAAUUAAAAUGAUAUGUAAUUUUUUUUUUGAAAAAUAAUUAUUAAUAUGUCUCUACGAUAUACAUCAAACAGUAACUUUUAAUGGUUCUAUUUUGUUUUUAUUUCCAUUCUAUGAAUUGGCAUGAUAGGUAAAUAGUGUAAUUUAUGUAUCAUGUAAGAAAUGACGUUAACAAUAGAGGUCCUCAUAAUUGGAUAUUUAUGCAACUAUAACCAUACCUAAUAAAUAAUUAGAUUAUAAGUAGGUAUUAUAAUUAUAACUAGUUUUUUAAAUAUGGGUAUAAUUUAAUAUAACUAGUUAUUAUUUUUAAAAUAGAGGUAUAUAACUAGUUAUGAAUAAACUAGUUAUAUAUGGAUAAAAAUAAGUUGUUUGAAAUAUUCAUUUCUAUAAAACUAAUUAUAUUUUUAUAAUUAUAAUUAUUUUUUAAAUAAAAAUAAAUUAUUUAAAAUACCUACUUUUAUAUAACUAAUUAUAUAAAAAUAUUUAUAGUUAUAGGUAUUUUCUAAAACUAGUUUUUUUAGUAGUCUUAGUCAACAUAAUUUAUGACUAGAGACUAAAAAUAAGAUUUUUGUAAAGAGAGACUAAAUUAAAUCAUAUGAAACUUUAAUAACUAAAAACAAGAUUUUAUGAGAAAUAAUAACUAAAGAUAUAUAUUUUUUCUAAUUCUUUUUAUAUUAAAAUAUCAUUUAUUUUAAAAUAAAAAAUUAAUGCCACGUUUAUUAUCUUGGAAUUACUAUUUCGUAUAAAAAAAAACAGCUUAGACGAAUUCAUAUAAAGACCACUGUUUUUAUUUGACCGAAUAAAAGUUAAAUAAAAAAUUGUGACACAAUAAGUUGUUUGACAGGAAUACGCAUGCAUGUACCUGGUAACAUGGUAUUAUGGAUUUCGUGUUACACGAAUUGGUAAUUGGUAAAGUAAAGCAUUUUCCGUUUUUUAUACGAUAAAAUUUGAGCAAGUUUCAUGUAAAACUUGUGGUUUUUCUUAUUUUGAGUUUUUCAUUUUCAUUUGAAUGUAAUUUAUACGUUUUAGAGUACUUGUCUAAUUAUUUUGUUUAAAAAUAACUGUUUUUUUUAUAAAUAAAGAUCAUGUCUAAAAAGGUUUAUGAUAAUUAUAUAUUUUUAAAAUUAAAACAAUUCAACUCUAAUUUAUUUUUGAAAAAAAAAAGGCAAUGCUUAAAGAUUAAGGAUCGAUUAAAAAAACGUUUUCAAAGCAUAUUAACGUCAACUGGUUUUGUCUUAUUCAUUUAUGUUUUUUUAGGUUUGCUUCAUCUGAGAAUUCGUUUUCUGUCCUGUUUUUCUUUGCUCUUUAUUAAUAAUCACAAAAUAACCACAUCAAUUUUACUUUAUUUUAUAAUUCUAAGGAAUUGUGAAGAAAAUAAUGAAUUUACGUAUACAUAUUUAAAAAGAACAAAAUAAAAAUAUUAUAUAUAGUUAUUAAUAAAAACUAAAUAAAACUCAACAUAAAAAAGAGUUUACCCGUUAUUUUCUUUUUAUUUUUAAAAUGCCGUAUAUUCAAGAUUAGUGACAUGAAUUAUUUAUAAUUUUUUUUUUUACUUUUAUAGUAUUCAAAUAUUAUUUAAAUUAAUCUUACUUAUUUUAUGUAAUAUUGUAAAAAAAAUAUUUAUAUUUUCUAGAUCUAGACACAAGGGCUUUCUAAUUAGUUUUGUCAUCUUGUACCACUCUAUAUAAUAAUUUAAUUGCUGAAGAGUGAAGACCACAUAGGAUUCAUCAUUUUCCAAACGAGCAUCUUCGUAGUUUCUUAAGUCAAGAGAAGAAGUGAAGUGCUGCUUCAAUGGCUUCAAGUCAGGAAGAGGUGAUCCUUUUGGGGGUUAUUGGAAGCCCAUUUCUGCACAGGGUGCAGAUUGCUCUCAAAUUGAAGGGAGUUGAAUACAAAUAUUUGGAAGAUGAUUUGAACAACAAGAGUGAUUUGCUCCUCAAGUAUAACCCAGUUUAUAAAAUGAUUCCAGUGUUUGUUCACAAUGAAAAGCCCAUAUCCGAGUCCCUUGUGAUUGUUGAGUACAUCGAUGACACAUGGAAAAACAACCCCAUCUUGCCUGAUCCUUACCAUAGAGCCUUGGCUCGUUUCUGGGCCAAGUUCAUUGAUGACAAGGUAACUCUCAAUUAGAUCCCUUCCUUUUAUUCUUUCCUUUUCUUAAAAUAAAUCGCUUAUAUAUAUAUAUAUAUAUAUAUAUAUAAUAUGGAUCAAACUUCUUUAAGAACUGUCUUGAAUUAUUGUUAUGAUUUGUAAUUAUAGGAUUAUGGUAGAAUUUUCAACUUGGGGAAGAAAUAUUUGUGUUAUGUAUUCUAAAUUUCUAACCGUAAAUAAUAUAGAAAUUAGAAGCUUCUACUACUCACUGACAAGGGGGAGAGGUGCAGGGUUGUUACGGUGAGGCAUUGCCGCACACGAUUGGAUCUACUACUCACUCCGUUAUGCUAUGCUUUCACUUUAGAACUCAUAUCCCUCACACGCGAAAUGCUUUUGAGGAACCGAAACGACAAUGACAGAGAAGAUGAACCAGCUCGAUUUGAACGCGCGCGUAGAUAAUUAGGGUAACUUAAACAAAGACGGUCCUUCACCCAAACCCGUCUUUGUUCAAGUUUUUCAUAUUUACAAAAAUGCCAUGAACUAGCAUUCUAAGACGGUUCUCUACGACCGUCUUAGAAUGCACGACGUAAAAACAAAAAAUAUUACUUCUAAUUAUAAAAAUGUCACCGUCUUACAUUUUAAGACGGUUAUUAAUAACCGUCUUAGAAUACGCAUCGUAAAAUCAACCUCUUUUAGUAGUGAAGGCAUUAUCAAAAAUUAAAUUUUAAGGAGCAAAAAGGUAUUUAAAUCCAAAUUUUAUUUACUUUUACAUAAGUCAAUCAUAUUUCUGAUUGAUGUAAUGUAACUUGGUAGGAAGACUGCAUCCUAGCUUUUAGAUUUCUCCAAGGAGAUUAGCAUCUAUGAAUGAUGAUUGGAGACAUUGGUUGCUAUUAUAUAUGUAUCCAAGAAAAAUCAUAGUUGUUUUUAUAUAUUCCAAUUAUUUACUAACAUACAAGUAAUGUAACUUGGGAAAUCAGUGCGUGGCUCCAGCAGCGAAAUCUGUUUUUAUUGUUGAUGAGAAAGAGAAAGAGAAGGCAAAAGAAGAAUUAUUUGAGGCUCUGAAUUAUCUUGAGAAUGAGUUGAAGGGAAAGUUUUUUGGUGGAGAUGAGUUUGGCUUUGUGGAUAUUGCUGCUGUGAUCAUACCUAUAAUUCAAGAGAUAGCAGGGUUGCAAUUGUUCCCAAGUGAGAAAUUCCCAAAGCUCUCCAAAUGGAGCCAAGACUUUUACAACCAUCCACUUGUUAACCAAGUUAUGCCUCCUAAGGACCAACUUUUUGCCUAUUUCAAGGCUCGGGCUCAAAGCCUCGCUGCUAAAACAAAGAAUUAACAAAGACUCAGAAUUCCCAAGGAGAUUUUAAUAUUGUAGGAAGUGAAAGCUACUUACUAUCUAUGUUUAGUUUUCGUUUUGUUCAACAAUCUAUGUUUAGUUUUCGUUUUGUUCAACAAUCUAUGUUUAGUUAUUGCGGUUAUAUUUUCAUUUCAAAAUGAAUUAAGCGAUAUAGGAUUUCGCCAUGUAAAAAAAAUAAAAAUCCAAGGUUGUUGACAUUUUCGCUAUUUCAAAUGAGUUGUGUUAAUUAUUGGUUUAAACUAUUUAGUAAAGGGACCAAUGAGAUUUAGCUUAAAUCAAAUGAGUAUCCAAUGAUUUUUUAUUUUAUUUUUUUACUUUUUAAAUCAAUGCCUUCUCCUUUGGGUCUUGGUCUUGUUGACAUUUUCGCUACUGCAAUCAAUAAAAGGAAAAAAAAUAUAUCCUCCCUUCCCCACACCAUAUAAAUCUUUUGGUGGAUAUGCUUUUUAGGGAUACGGGUGUCGGAAGAGAUAAGGAUUUGAUGCAAAGAUACAACGAUUCUUGAAAGAUAUGAUAUGCCACAUGUGAAAAUAUCAACAUGCUGUAAGUUGAUAGAUAGUCAAUUAAAAUUUGUUUAGAUAGCACUUUAGAAGAAAAAAAACAAAAUUUUAAAUUUAUCAGAUCAACAACAACAGCAAAAAUUAAGAUAAAAAACAAAAUUUAAUCAUUUAUCAAAAUCAAAACCAAAAGUAUAUUUAAAUUUUUUUAUUUAUUUUCUAGAAAAAAUUCUUGCGAUGAAUUUUUUAUUUCUAGAUUUUGAUUUUGGGCUCGAUUUUUAUAAUCACUCAUUUCACCACUUGAAUAUAUGAUUAUUUUUUUUUAUUGUUUUAGUCGAUUUUGAUUUUGGAUUCUUCUAUAAGAAUGAUUCCCUACGCAGUACACCACACUAAAUGAUAAAAAUUCUCCAACAAUAAAACUUGUUAAGAAAUAUAUAGUUCUUCCACAUAAGAACUAAGUUAGUUAAGAACAUGCAUUGAAGAUGUGGUAAAAGCAUAUUCAAUAAAUCAAUGGUGUUUAUUUAAGCAAUUCAUUUGGAAUUUUUAGUUGAGUCCAAAACGGGUUCCACUAUAUGUAUCAUUAUAUUUAAGCAACUAACCAGCAUUUAUUAUAUUUCAAUGCUACAACCCUUUAAAAACUUAUAAUAUUAUUCUUUUUAUUUGCAUUUGAUUUUUUUUCCAUUAAAAUAUUAAUUUCAAACCACUUUUUUCAUAAACAACUACUUUUUAUAUAAGUAACCAUGCUUAAAUUUAAGCAAUCCAUUCUACCAAUCACAUCAACUCCAAUAAUGAAAAUAAAUAAAGAAUGAUUUCAAAAUUUACACAAUCCAGUAAAAAAACUCCAUUAAAAUUACUCUAAAUUUAAGAAAGAUUUAUUAUGUUUUUGAUAGUUAAACUUUUCCGGACUUCUUUUAGUCUAAAUCUAAAUUUUGAGCUAAGAAAAUCCCUAAACAUUUCUUUCUUACAAUUUUUAGUUUGUAUUAUCAAAUAAUAACAUUAAUUGAUAUUAUAAUAAUAUGGUUGAUAACUCAAUGACUUAUUAUGUCAUUAAGGAGUUGAUGACAUUAGAUUAUCUGAUAAAUAAUUUAAAGUACAUUUUACUAAAAAAAAAUAUGUGACUAUUUUAUCACAUUUUUUGGUAAUGUGAUAAGUUAUUAGAUCAUUAAUGUUGUUAGGUCAUUGAUUAAUAUUUUAUUUAAAAAUUACUAAAGUGAUAAUAGAGAACAAAUUUAGAAACUUUAAGUGAUCAAAAUUUAAAUUAAGAAUAAGCCCACCCCAAAAAAAUUACAAACUAAAAAAUAGCAAGCCCAUGUACAAAUCUCAUAAAUAAACUAUUCUAGUAAAAGAUAUUUCAUUAUUUUUUUUGUCUCCAUCUUUCAAUUAAUUAAAAAAAAAGAUUAUAACUAAUCUAGAGUUGGACAGAGAUAAGUAAAAUAUGAUUUAGAAUUCUUUUUAUUAAAUAUCAAACUCAUAUAUGAUCCGACAAUUUAAUCUUAAGUAUAACAUAUUAAAUUUUUGGAGUGAGUCACUUACUUGCUUAGAUACUUCAUCGUAUAAUAUAAAAUGCUAAACACGUGCUCCCACGUAGAGGUGACGUAACUCUUGUAUCAUUUCUAAGUCAUUGACUAUAUGACAAUGGAGUUUUCUUCACUUCAUGCAAAAACAACUUUUUUAUUUGAUUUAAUUACAUUUUUUCAUCUUAUUGUUUAAUUAGUUUUUGACAAAUUUUAUUUUUAAUAAAUUAAUUGAACACAUUUUAUCUCUUAUUUUUUUUAAAAAAAAGAUUGCAAAUUUUUUCUUUUUUUUAUUUUACUCAUAAUAUAAUUAUAAAUUUACCCCUAAAAAAGUUGGGCAUUUGAGGAGAGUUCUAUGUUGGAUUUGAUGUGGAAGAUAUAUUUUUUGUUUAAAUUGAUUCUGUUGGUUUUUAAACUGCCGAAAUUAUAAUUUAACUUUUUAAAAUGAAUAUUGGUGUUUUCAAAAUGGUCACAAAUCAUAUUUUGAAAUUUUUAACCAACAUGUUGUCACAAUUUAAUUAACGACAUAUAUAUAAAAUAAAAAUUUUCAUGUAUUGCGGAACUAAUACAAAAGAAAAAAAAAAUUAGAAACUCAAAAUAAAAUCCGAUUAUUUAUGACGGAGUUAAAACAUAUUUAACCAAUAUUUUAUAAAGUGAUUUGAAACCUAUAUUGCAAAGUCUAGAAAAAAAGUUUUUAAAAAUCGACUAUAUUUCACAUAAAAUAAAAAUAUCUAAACCUUAUGUCAUCUAUCAUGCACCUUUGAUAACCUUUGUAAUUGAUCUCGUGUCCAUGAAUACUAGUCCUGGCUCCAUAAAAGGAGAACACCGUAGGAAUCCAUCAUAGACAGAGAAACAAGACCAGAGAUAGUUGUUUGAGUGAAGGUUUGAAGUGCUACGUACAAACAAUGGCCAACAAUCAGGAAGAGGUGAUACUUUUAGGAGCUGUGGGAAGCCCAUAUGUGUGCAGGGUGAAAAUUGCCCUCAAGUUGAAGGAAGUUCAAUACAAAUUUUUGGAAGAAAAUUUGGCAAAUAAGAGUGAACUGCUUCUCAAAUCCAACCCAGUUCACAAGAAGGUUCCAGUGUUUAUUCACAAUGAGAAGCCCAUAGCAGAAUCCCUUGUGAUUGUUGAGUACAUUGAUGAGACAUGGAAGAACAACCCCAUCUUGCCUUCUGAUCCUUACCAAAGAUCCUUGGCUUGUUUCUGAUCCAAAUUCAUAGAUGACAAGGUAACUCUACUUUUCUUCUUUUCUUGCUUUGUGCUUAUUAUAUUUGUCCCUAAAACAUCACCUUUCAUGACAUCUAAAUGUUAAAUCUUUGAAUAAGUCAGAGAAGUUGAAGAAACUUCAUUCACUAAGUGUACCAAAUUUGUCUAAAAUCAUAUUAAUGAUAGAUCAAAUUCAUUUAAGAACUACCUCCAAUUAUUAUGAUUUGUUUGGAAUCUUGGGAGAAUUUUGUUUUUUUGGGGUGUCACAUUUGUUUCUAUAUAUAACUAAAUCUAAAUUCUGUUAUCCUAAUUACUUUAUUAACUAAUUACUAAUAAAUACUCUGAUUUAUGAAAUCAGGUGGCGGAUGCUGCAUGGAAAGCUGUUUUCACUGCUGAUGAGAAAGAGCGUGAGAAGAAUGUUGAUCAAUCAUUUGAGGCUCUUCAGUUUCUUGAGAAUGAGCUAAAGGACAAGAAGUUCUUUAGAGAAGAGGAGUUUGGCUUGGUAGAUAUUUCUGGUAUCUUCGUAGCAUUUUGGAUCCCUAUAGUUCAAGAAGUACUGGGUUUGAAGUUAUUAAACAGUGAGAAAUUUCCUAAGCUCAACAAAUGGUGCGAAGAAUUCACCAACCACCCUGUUGUCAAAGAAGUUCUUCCUCCUAGAGACACACUUUUUGCCUUCUUCAAAACUAUCUUUGAAAGACUCAGAAUUUCUAAAAUAGGCUCGUGAAGUAACUAGUGAGAGACUCAGAAUUUCUAAGGAAAAUUGUGUUGACUACUUGUUUGUUAUUGUUGUUAUGAUUUCGUUUCAAAAUGUUGUUUGUAAGUGUUAGGUAAUUCUAUUCCACUGAUAAGGAACAAAUUGUAAAGAUAAUUUUUCUGCCCAUUCUUAUUGAAACUUUAGAUAUUUAAAGAGUAACAUAAUACUGCAAAGCACAAAACUACAAAGCUGAUAAUGGGCAUAACAGAAAUGCCACCUAAGGAAUAACAGAAUUCCAAUAACAGCCUAAUGAUUGUCUAUCAGAGGGAGAGGGAAUUCUUUAGCGGUAUCAGACAUAAUCCUCCAAAUGAGUGGGCCUUCUGGUUAUCCAUUUGGGUUUUUAAUCUCCCUAGUUUGAAUUGCUAACAAAACCCUCCCUAGGAAACUCGACAUCAUCCUCGAGGUCGUACGCAUUGUGCAAGGUGGUCCAUUCUUCCCAAGAGGCAUCCUCUGGAGUGAGGCCGUUCCACUGCACCAAAACCAUACAUGAAGGUGUUGUUGUUAAAUGAUCCCAUUUCCAAUCUAAGAAUGACAAAGGUUCAACCACCGGAUGGUUCUCUGUUUGGAUGGGUGGGAGAGUAGCGGUUUGAGUGGGUGAAGGUCCUUUGUGCGCUUUCAAGAGUGAAAUAUGGAAUACAUGAUGGAUUUUAGAAUCCAUCGGGAGUUCAAAGUGGUAUGCUACAGGGCCUACUUUAUCUGUUAUUGGGAAGGGUCCGUAGAACCUCUUUGAAAUUUUGGUGUAAUAGGGACACACAUAGGUUUGGCGAUAAGGCAGUGGGCAGACGUAUACCAAGUCUCCAACAUCAAAUUAUAUAUGACAAUGAUGUUUGUCAGAAUAGUGUUUCAUGGCCUCUUGUGCUUUCCGUAAGCGUCUCUGUAACUGAAUAUGAGUAGCUUGGCGUGACAUUACCAUAGAAGUCAUGACUUCCAUCGGAGAAGAGUCGAGCAAUGAUGAUGGAGGGGACGGGGGAGGUUUGUUGUAUGUAUCUUCGAAUGGUGAUAGCCCUGUACUAGAAUGAGUGGAAGUCUUGUAACACCAUUCUGUCAAUGUCAGGAAGUUGUACAAUAGGGAUGGACGAUCAUGCACGAAUGAACGUAGAUACUGUUCCAGAAUGCGAUUAAGGACUUCCGUUUAUCCAUCGGUCUCUGGAUGGUACACGGUGCUAAAUCGCAACUCGGUGCCACUGAGUCGAAAAAGUUCUCGCCAAAACAAGCUAAUGAAGAUUGGCUCUCGAUCUGAAAUGAUACUCCUGGGGAAACCAUGCAACUUGCAGAAGAUGUCCAUAAAUAGGGUGGCGACCUUGUAUGCGGAAUGGUGUGGGGGUAAAGCACCAAAAUGGGCCCCUUUAGAGAAACGGUCGACCACCACCAAAAUUGUGGUAAAGCCAUGGGACUGGGGAAGUCCCAUGAUGAAGUCCAUUGAAAUGUCCACCCAAAUUCCAUUUGGUAUAGACAGAGGUUGAAGGAGGCCUGCUACUUCCUUGGUCUCUUACUUUGUUUGUUGGAACGUAGGGCACUGAGACACAAAACGGUGGACUAAAUUGCACAUUCCUUCCCAAUUAAAAUUAUCUUGAAUGCAACACAAUGUUUUCAUGAUUCUGAAAUGUCCCCCCAGGGCUAUAGAAUGGUAUUCAUGCAGUAAUAAAGGAAUGAAGGAGCAAUCAAGAGGAAGCCAAAUUUUGCUAUGAUAAUGAAGGAGGUCCCGUCAAAUGGAAUAUUCCGGGUGGGCAUUUGGAUGAAGCCCAACCUUGUUCCAUAAGUCCAAAAAAACAGGGGACUGCUAAAGUGACCUUUGUAGGUCUACCAAGAAAUCGAAUGCUGAAGUGAGAUGGUGAGAAGUUGGCCUUGGUGUGGCAUACGGGACAAUACAUCCACGUCGACAUUGCCGGAGUCGGACCUAUAUUCAAUUGUGUAAUUGUGGCCCUGUAAUUUGGACAAAUAAGUUUGCUGCUUGGGUGUUUGUAUUACUUGUGUCAUAAGUUCUUUUAAGCUUUGAUGAUCCGUGAGAAUGACAAAUGGGUGUCCCAGUAGGUAAUGUUGCCAUUUGUGCACCAUGAUGGUUAUAAUGUGCAGUUCCCUGACAUAGGUUGAGCUGUGUUGUAAGCGGGGGUAGAAGAGUUUGCUGAAAAAGGAUAUUAGAUGAUGUUGUUGAGCCAGCACUGCACCCAUUGUGAAACCAGAGGCAUCGAUUUCUAGUGUGAAAGGGAUGGAGAAAUCAAGAGGAACCAAAAUAGAGGCAGUGGUCAUGGCGUGUUUCAGUUGGUCAAAAGCAGCUUAUGAGUCUGAGUGCCAAUGGAAUUGGUCCUUGUGUAGAAAUUGGUUAAGUGGUGUUGCGGUCAGUGCGUGGUGCAGGCCAAUCAACCAUGGCGCUAAUUUUAGAUGGUCAAAGGCCACCCCUUCUGCAGACACUACAUGGCCUGGGUAUUGAAGAAAUCAUUUGGCAAACAGGCACUUGGAUUGACGAAGGUGAAAAGAUCCCUGAGACAACAUUGCGAAUACUUCCUCCAAAGGGAGCAUGUGGUAGUGAUGAAUUGUAGAUGAGUAUAUCAUCAAAGAAAACAACAACAAACUUACACAAAAAUGGUUUAAGCAAUUCAUUCAUUAUCUCCUGAAAAGUUGUCAGCGCGUUACACAACCAAAAGGGCAUUAUGCGAUAUUUGUAAUGACCUUGAUGUGUUUGGAACGCCAUUUUAGGGAUGUCUUCGUCCGCCAUGUGUAUUUGAUGGAAACCUUGACUAAGGUCAAGCUUAGAGAACCACGAAGCUGAGUCUCAAUUCAUCUAGUAGCUCUUCGAUAGUGGGCACUGGGAACCUAUCCUUCUUCUUCAUGAGAAGGAUUGGAGAAGAAAAGGGAUUGUGGCUAAGUUGAAUGAAUCCGACUUCAAGCAACAAUUGAAUUUGUUUCUCCAAUUCAACUUUCUGGCUGUGGGGGUAAUGGUAUGAUUUUACAUUAAUGGGUUUGGAAUUUGAUGGAAGGUGAAUGUGAUGGGAGAUAGGGCGGGGUGGAGGGAGCUAGGUGGCCUCGAUGAAAAUUUUUAGCAUAUCGGAAAAGGAGUGUGCUGAGUUCUGGUGGUUCUGUGUGUUGGUCAAGGCUCAGGGAAGGUGAUAUGGGGUGAUCUUGGGUUGGAUCUGGUAUGGGUGUGAGUAUGAAAAGGGCGAAAAAUGCUUGUGUUUUGAAACAUGUGCUUCAAUUGGUGAGCUGAAGCAAAAACUAGGCGAACGGGAAUAUCAACAACUAAUUGGACCGGCUGGCCCAAAUAGGUGAAAGACAUUGAAAGUGUGGUGUAGUCAGUGGUAAUCGGGCCCAAUUGGCGAAGCCAGUGUACCCCGAGAACAAUGUCGGCUCCACUGAUGGGUAGGGCAUAUAAAUCAAUGGUAAAGGAAUGACCCUGGAUGCUUAUCGGCACCUGAGGGUGGUAGUGGUUGUAGACCAUGACCCCGUCGUUACCCACCAUGACAUUGAGGGGCUCUAUCGCAGAGGAGGUUAAGUCCAAAAACUUAGCUACCCUCAUUUGUAUAAAGUUAUGCGUACUGCCCCCUAUCAAUGAGUAUGGUUAGCUGGUGAUCAUUAAUGGUGUCGUAAAGACAAAAAAUUUUGGAGCUGGCAUAUCAGCCAUUGCGUUGAGGCUAAGGUGGGGAGUAUUGGUCUGGUAAAGGCAAAAGGCAUUAGCUUGGAGGGCAUGUGGGUCAUCCGGCACCAAAAGAGGGUAAGGGUAUUCAAUAUCAUCCUCGACUAUGAGGAGAUGGAAAUGGGGCUAACAACGGUGGAUGGAAGUCCAUUUAUCAUCACAAUGAUAACAAAGACCUUUAUCGCGUCACACAACCAUCUCCUCCGGGGAUAAUCUUUUGAAGGGUAUUUUAGGUAGUGGUUUUGUUGGGAGCACAAGUGGGGAAAGAGAACAGUGUUGUUGAGUAGCACAUCGACAGUCAAUAAUUUUUUCCGCCUUGCGAAUCGCAUUGUCAGGUUACCACCAGCGAAGGAUAAGGAGACAAGCUGAAAGGCUUGGACCUCGCAGCACAAUUCCAGGUUGAGACUGGAAAUAAAACAACUAAGGAGGGACGUCGGUGGUAACCGAUAACUGUGAAAUAUGAGCUAAUUUAAUAGUCAAUUUUGGCUAAUAAAUGGGUGUAAUUUCUUUACUUUAUUAUUGUUUUUAAGGAAAUAAUGAAGAAAUUAACAUCUUUGCAAUUUUUUAUUAGCAAAAUUCAAAAGAAGAUUUCAAGUGCUUUAGAAGAAAAAUUGGUGCAAAAACUGGAAGAAAAAACCUUGAUGAAAAAUUGAAGAAUUGUACAGCUCGCUCAACACACACUCUCACAUAGUGGGCAAAGUCAGACUCAAUGCGCAAUCUCGCUCAGCGUGCAACUCGGGCUUAAUGUGCAGUCUCGCUCAACGCACAUGUCAGACUUAGCCUGAGAAGGUCCAUGAGGAAAGCCCAAGGUGCACUUAGCGCGCAAAUGCGUGCUUAGCACGAAGUCAGCGUGAAAAGUAAGCUACCUCAUGCCUAUAAAAGGAGUAGGAGGCAGAAGGAAAACACACACUGAAUCUCAGAGCUAUCCAAAAAUUGGGCCUAUCCUUUAGGGGAAACCUUCUUUCUUAAUCAUUCCCCAUUUUCUUGUUAUUAAACUCCCUUGUAAUGUAACUGUUUUUCUUAUCUAUUAAUGCAAUUUCAAUUUUCUAUUCUCUUUUUUCUACUUUUCAUCUCUAUUGUGUGGUUUCACUACUAAAAAAGUGAUUUUUUAUGACGUCAAUUUUACAUCAGUUGGAAAAAACUGUCUUAGAAAGAACACGGUGGCAUUUCCAUAAAUAAUUAUAAUAAUUCUACGACGGUUAUGCAAAACCCUCCUUAGAAAAUUGUUAUUCUAAGACGGUUUUAUAAAAAUCACCUUAGAAAAUUGUGUGCUAUUUUUAAUAUUUAUUGUGUCCCUCUAGCUACUCUUUGUGCUCCCUCAUUCUCGAAAGAGCAAGCGCCGCUUCCACUCCCUCGUCCCGCAGGUCGAAAAUGUCGUUGUCCGCGUCGACUACUUGAUCUCUGACUACGACUGUUCCUCCUCUUCUACCGCCUCCAACGGAGGCCCUUUCUAGAACCUCCUCCGCCUCGUCUUCGACAGAAUCAUGAAACCCAUUCAAACCCUCAACCAAUUCCUGAGUCCCAAACGCCUUUCUUCCUCUGUCACCGCUACCGCUGCCACAUUCCCUUCCUCCACCUCCUCCCUCGCCGUCGAUUCCGACGAAGACUUUGACGACGGCGUCACCCACCACUCCCCAACCCAAGUCCUCAAGAACUUCAACGAGAUUUUCCUCCUCCGGAUCGAGUUCCCUAGCAGCGACAAUCAAAGCAUCACUGACUCCUUCUACACCAACGGGGACCUCAAACUGCGCAUUGUUUGGACCAUAAGCUCCCUCAACACUGCCUCCGCCAGACAUUACUUGGUUCAACUGAUAAUCUCUGAGCACGCCACCCUCGACAAUUUGUUGCUCACGAACGCCGAUGCCCAAGGGGUGUUUUACAUGAACCGGGAGCAGCUGGAGGAGCUGAGGGUGAAGCCGCUAUCGGCGUCGUCGGCGUAUUCUUACAUGUUAUUCUUAGCGGGCAUAUGCUUGCAGCACUACAUGUUUUUUUUUACGGUAAGGUGUGCAUUUCUUUCUUCUUCUUCUUUAAAUUUCAAAUUAUCCUUGAUGGGAGCAAAAAAUGGCAGCUUUCUUGAUGAAUCUUGGUCUGACAUGGUGGAUUUGAUUGGAAAUAGAAGAUUUGAUUGAGUGUUUUGUCUGAUUUUUGUGGAUCAAUCUUGCUUGGUUUCCUUUUUCAUAGUAAUGUUCUUUCUGCUUUGAGCUCUGAUUCAUUUAUUCACUACUGUUUCAAAGCUAUGUCUAUUUUUGGCAUUGCUUGCCAUUUUAAAGGUUCCAAUUCUAGAUUUUGGGUUCACAAUGCUUUGUCAAUGCACUGUUUACAAAUGAAUUUGGAAUUGUAGUCCUUGAUUGAGUUUUGUGCUGUCUUGUGUUUUAAUUUAUGUGUGGCUAAUGAAUUUGAGCCGUCUUAGUUGUUUUUACUUUGGUACCAAUUAUUUUGAUCUUGUAUGGGUUGUUUGCUUUUGUUUGGAAAUUAAUAUCACCAACAUAUGACCUUAAGUUGAUGAUUUUUUUUUUCUUUUUUGCAUUGUUAGACUAGCAAUAUUUUCCUUAUUUGUUCUCUCGAUGGAAACUGAGCUUUCCUUCCCACAAGCUUUGUUUGAUUCAACUUGCUGCUAAGUUGUUCUGUAUUUCCUUUCCUCUAUUUAUUGCAUCAAUCCAUAAAUAGGGCUGCUUUUUCUCCUUAGGUGCACUUCUUAAAAUGCUUUAUCAUUUUCGUGUAGUCCAUGAAUUUCAACACACUCAUAUCUUACCAAGAGGCUUCCUGUCUUUCUCUCUCUCAUAAAAUGUUUUCCAUAAAAUAAAGUAAUUAGCAUAACAAUGAUUUCUAAUUUUCUAUGAUUUUUUUAUGCUCCAUGAAACACUUAGGGUCUUAAAACAAUCAUUUGAUUCUAUGGUUAUAUAAGAGCGAAUAUUUGUUUGAUAUAGGGUGCUAUUGUGAAUUCCAACAAAUAUUUAUUUAUUUAGAUGAUGCUUUUUCCUCUUUCUUUUCAUUCUUUACAUGUUACAGUGUUGGAUCGGAUGUAGUAUGUGUCGUUAUUGUGGUGUGGGCUUGUCAGAAUCAAAUUUUGACAACAAGCAACAGGGACAUGAGAGUAGUCUAAAGUUGAAUGUUAAAGUUUCCAUUAGGCCUUGCAAAUCUUGUGGAGAGAAGCUAGAGCGAGCAAAUGUGAAAUGGCAUAGUACAAGUCCUUAUGCAACACCACUUAUCAGUUCGACUACAUGUAUAACUAAGUACUGAUAGUUGUGUCUCCACUUGCAGUAAUUACUAUCCCCUUGUCCUCAUUUUAUAAUGUUGAUGAUAUUAGUCUUAUAUGACAAGAUGGUCUUUAUAUAACCAAGUCUUUCUUCAAUAUAUGAUAUUUCUUCAAUAUCUAACUGCCUCCUUGUUUCUAUGUUUUUGCUUUGCAAUAUGUGAAACGGAUUUUCAAACACAUACUAAAUAUAUAGAUAUUUAUUUGAAUUUGUGUUUGAUGAGUCAUGAUUUUGAAUUGUACGUGUAGGUAUGGAGAUAUAUUCAAGACAAACAUAUUAGGGUGUCCUUGUGUGAUGAUAUCAAGCCCUGAGGCAGCUAGAAUUGUGCCUGUGACUCACGCACAUCUCUUCAAGCCAACGUACCCUCCAAGCAAAGAGAAGUUGAUAGGGCCAGAGGCUGUGUUCUUUCAACAAGGUGCCUAUCACUCCAUGCUCAAGAGGUUGGUUCAAGCCUCAUUUUUACCCUCCACAAUUAAGCACUCAGUCUUUGAGGUCGAGCGAAUUGUCAUCAAAAUGGUGCCAACUUGGACCAACAAAACUAUCAACACCUUUGCAAGAGAUGAAAAAGGUAUCACACAUGACAUAACUUAACUACAUCUACACAUAUGUCGAUCAAAACUUUUAGAAUUAACCAUAUCUUAUCAUAUUAAGAGCAUGCUACUUAGUCGGCUUAAUGGUGGAAAUUUGAAUAAUAUGCAUGAGCUUAUAAAUUGUAAUCUUAGUUUGACUUUUGUGUACCAAAAAAUAUUAAGAAUCACGAUAAAUAUUAACUUCAUUUUGGUUGGAUUAUAGUAGAAAGAGGAAUAACAAGAAAACGAAAAUGUGAUAAGUAAUGUGAUAAAAAUUAUUUAUUUCAUUAUAUGGAUUUAGAAUCUCAAGAAAUUUUCUUGGUUUUAUUUAAUUAGUAUGCAUUUGAAGUAGCUGCAAUCUCAGCCUUUGGGGAAAUAUAGGAGCUUGAAAUGGAAGAAAUCAGGGAGCUCUAUCGUUGCUUGGAGAAGGGAUACAACUCUUAUCCAUUACAUGUUCCUGGAACUUCCUAUUGGAAGGCAAUGAAGGUAUGUAAAAUGUAUUUCUUAUUAUCCUGUUUUGUAUUUCUUGCCCUAUUUUUGCAUAGUUUGUGCAUUUUUUUUUUGGAAAAAUGUAAAUUAUAUUAAACCCAAAAUGAUACAACAAUAAACGGGGCAUACCCCAUAGCUAGAGAAAAUCAAAAGUCUCCCUAAUACAAGAAGGCCUAUAUCAAGAUGUUAAAACAAAUGCAACAGGUGCGCUUAUCUAUACAUAAUAAACUUAAUCUUGCUAAUAACCUCUAUUAUAGAAAAUUGGUAAUCUUCAAAAAUCAGCUUGUUCCUAGACAGCCAGAUGCAGUAGACUGUAAUUGUUAUAGUUAGACAACAAAAUUUUCCUUGAACACCUGAUGUGGAUCGGCCCCUAAUUAAAGAGUCAGUAAUACGCUGCAAAGAAGUGAAACGCCUGCGGAAAGGAGCCAAAUCACGAAUGUGAGCCCAAACUUGGAGAGAUUUCCUGCAAGAAAAUAACAAAUGAACAUUUGACUCAGCCUCAUUUGAACAUAAAGGGUUGAGGGAACCCUUGUUCAAAAAAGCAGCUUUGUCAAGAGUAAGCAGCCGGUUCCUUUUAGCAAACCAUAGAAUGAAAGACAUCUUAGGGGGGAUUGCUGGGUUCCAUAUAACAGAACACCAACUAACAGUAGGCUUGGCACCUCUAAUGUAUUCAUAGACUUUGCCAACAAGCAAUUGUUCAUUGGUGCUCCAAGAUUGAAUCCUCUUUUUGGCCUCUUCCGUACUUAGCUCUUUGGAGAUAAUAAAGUCCCUUAUUUGAAUGAUUUUCUUUAUCAAAAUUGAAUCUGAUGAAGAAGUAUUGUAAUUCCACACAUCGCUCCCUUUGAAAUAGUAAUGGUGAAACCCAUAGAACCCAUAGAGAAUCUUUCUUACAAUGAAAGUCCCACAGGAUACGGGAAAGAAGCGCAAUGUUCCAGUCCUUGAGAUUAAAAAGGCCUAAACCCCCUUCUUUUUUCAAAGAACAAACUACUGACCAAGCAACCAAGGGCUUGUUUUUGCCAAUAUCUGCUUUGCCCCACAGAAAAUUACGACACGAAGCGUUGAUCCGGUCCAAAACAGAUUGAGGCAAAGGAAAAAUCCCCAUCCAGAAAUUCAUAAUUCCUUGAAUAACUGCUCUGAUCAACUCUGGCUUACCUGCAUAAGAUAAAGACUUCUUGCUCCAUCCCUGAAUCAGGCCAGUAAUCUUGGAAAGCAAGGGAGCAUAAUGGCAUACAUUUAAUCUAGAUGAUAAAAGGGAACACCCAAGUAUCUAAAAGGGAAGCCACCCAAGCUAAAUCCAGUAAGCUGUUGAAUAUGAGAAAGCUCAUAAGGCCUAAUACUGACUGAAUAUAUGGAAGAUUUAUCAGAGCUGAUGGAAAGCCCUGAAACCCUAUAGAAGUGCUGAAGCUUGACAAACAUAGUUGACACAGAAGGGAUAUCUCCUCUAGAUAGAAGCAUAAUAUCAUCUGCAAAAGCCAAAUGAGAUAGUUGAAUACCUGCACAGUUGGGAUGAAAUUUAAAAUUGGCAUCAUCCUUGAGGCUGCUCAUAUCUCUGGAAAAGUACUAUAAACAAAGCACAAACAGAUAAGGGGAGAGAGGAUCCCCUUGUCUAAAACCCCGCUGCCCUUUGAAGUGGCCAUAAAUGGAUCCAUUGACUGCCACACUAAAGGAAGUGGAAGAAACACAUUCCAUGAUCCAAGUACAGAACUGGGUUGGGAAGCCAAUGGACUUAAGCAUCCAAUCCAAGAAUUCCCAGGAAAUGUAAUCAUAAGCUUUAUGCAAGUCAAUUUUCAGGAGGCAUCUUAGAGAGGAUCUUUUUCGUGCAUAUUUGCACAAAAUCUCUUGAACUAGGAAGAUGUUGUCCACCAUCUUUUUGUUCUUAAUGAAGCCAGUUUAAGUUUCCCCAAUAAUAGUCUCAAGCACUAGGGCUAUGCGGUUGGCCAGAAUUUUAGACACAAUCUUGUAUAACAAAUUACAACAAGAUAUGGGUCUAAAAUGGUUAACCUAGGAGGCCUGAUCGUGCUUAGGAAUAAGCGCAAUAAUAGCAUGAUUAAUCUGCUUUAAAAAAAUUUAAGUUGUAAAGAAUUCAUUAACCGCCUCAAAGAUAUCAUCACCAAUGAUAUUCCAAGCCUUCUUGAAGAAUAAAGCAUUGAAACCAUUUGGCCCUAGAGCUUAAAUAAUUAUUGCAAAUCGUUAGAUAGUACGAAUAAUUUUGAUACGAAUGGAUUACGAGAGAUAUUUCCGUACGAAUCAUUAUGAGACAACGUGGCAAAAUUUUAUUUAGUUAAACAAUAAGUUAAAACUUUUAAAAGAAUAAAAAUAAAAGCAAAGAAGUGGGACAAGACCCAUGGUGUUCAUAUACAGUUUUUGCUAUAAAAAAAUUCCAUACCAUAUAGCCUUUGCAUAAUUAUUUUCAACCAUUUGUGCAUAAUUAAAAGAUCAAUCUUAGUAUUAAAAAAAAGACUAAUCUAUUUUCAACCAUUUAGUAACUUUUUUUAUCAGGGAUAUUAAUUUGUUAGGAAGAAAAAUUAAACUCACCACUUAUCUCUUCUUUCUUCGGCUUCAACUUUCAAAUUAAAUUUGUAAGUCUAACCAUUUUGUGUAACAGUAUUAUAUGAUCUUUAAAUUAUGAUAAAAUUCAACAAUUUUACUACAUAUAUAAUAAUAUAGGAUUGGACUGUGGUGCUAACACACACUACUAAAAGAAGCCCUUUUUACCACACCAAUUCUAUGACGGUUGUUUACAACCGAUUUGGAAAGUGGUAGAAUGACAUUUUUGUAAUUAUUGUCACUAAAAAUGCAUUUUACGACGCACAUUCUAAGACAGUUAUUGAAAACCGCCUUAGAAUGUUAUACGAAUUAAAUUUUACAAUGGGUUUUACUGAAUAACCGUCGUAAUUUAAAAAUAAAAAAAUCAAAAAACCGCAAACCCGCACGUACUAGCUAGCCACCUGCUUGUUUCUCCUUUCGCAUUCAAGCCCUAGCUACCCUGUUCUUCAUUCUUCCGGUCCAUUGAACCCUACCCUCUUCGUUGUUCACCAUUGAACCCUUCAAUCUUUGACAAUCCAGCAACAUACCCUAGCCUCUUCUCCUUCCAUUCAACCCCACGACGUCGAGGAACUUCCCGGCUCGAACUUUCAAGUUCGUGAAGAAAUUAGUUUGAAUGAAGGAGUGGUAGUUCGUGAAGAAAGACAUUGGAGUCACUGCAAAGAAACCAGGUUAGUGAAAAAAUUAGCUUAUUUUACUCAAGAUAAGGUUGUCGUGGUGUUAAAUAAAGGUCGUGGGUUCGAUAUAACCUAGUUUUGCUGAUGAUGUUUGGUAAUGGUGGUUGCAGGGAAGAUAUUUGAUGUAUUGAAUGAGUUAUUGGUGAACAACAGUUGAUACGUAGUUCACUGGGCUGCAAACGGGUCAGUGGGCAUUUGUUUAUUUUCUCUGGUUCAUGCAUGUUCGUAUGGUAUCUUGAUAUAUAGUUGAUACUUAGGUUGGUGUUGUUUAAGGGACUUGAGUUGAAUGGAUUGAAGAUUAAUUAUGUUGAUCUUAACAAUUUUUUAUUUCCUGUCUUUAGGGAAAUUUGUGUUUGCCUGCAUUUAUGUGUUUAUAGUGUAUGUAAUUUUAAUUUAAGGUACUAGAUAUAAUACUGUAGGUUUUGUAUUAUAUGAAUGAAUGCAAGGUAUAUGGGUUGGGUUUUGGUAGCAAAAGAGCCAUCUUUCUUUGAUUUUGUGGAACUGAAGUCUGCAUUUUGUUCAUGGUCCUGACCUUAAUCAUAUUUUAAUUUCCUGAGUUCACGUCAGUGUCUGUAUUUGCCUCUUCCAUAACUUCAUUUGGAGAGCAAGUCUCUUCAUUUUGAUUCCCUUCAUUUCUAUUCUAAGGUAAAUGAACUUGCCCAUCUGGUUCUCCAUCUCCAAAAUCAUGCAAAUGAAGCACUUAUGCAAACUUAGAAAUCUCGUAAGUUGUGUGCGCCUUGCAAAGACAAAGAACUUGUUGGGUUUUUUUAGAAGAAAAGAUUUUUCAAAAGAAGUAGUGAUAUGUUAGGCAUUAGGCAAAUGAACUUAUUAAACUUUUAUUCUUUAGCAUUAUAUAUGGAGUCAAAGGGUAACCUAAAAUUAAAAAAUUUCAACAGACAACAGCACUGUAAUCUUAAAAUCAAAGUGAUUGUAUCCUUAAGUCUAAAUGAUAAAAAUAAUAUCCUAAAAAUUUGAAAUAUAACAAAAAUUCCUAAAAACUAGGGAAUUGCAGAUAUUUAGGCAUAUUUUCAACCAGACUCCUAUAUCAAUUGUAAGUGCCUAUAAUUAACCAACAUCCAAAGUCAUGUCUUUGGCAUCAAGCAUUCAAGCUUCUAUGUAUAAAAUGCAAAAGUUUCCCGUUUUGAGUCUUGAAUCCUUGUAAUAUGUAUAUAUAUAUAUAUAUAUAUAUAUAUAUAUAUAUAUAUAUAUAUUGUUGAAAAUUCAGAACUACAUUGCUUAAGGACUUGAGAUACUCUAGAACUUGAAUUUGAAUGAAUGGAGAUAAUUGUCACACUCAGCCCUUAGCUUUUUAUUAACACACACACACACACACACACACACAUAUAUAUAUAUAGUACAAAGAAAGAAAAAGAGAGAGAGAGAGAGAGAGAGAGAGAGAGAGAGAGAUGGGGAAAGCUGCCUUUGGAUAAGGAUUAGACACUCAGCUUCCCACACACUCAACAUGACAACACAUAAAGCUUAAUACAUACUCAACCUCACUCACACACUCAAAACAACCUUUUACCUACACAGUUGUCUACACAAUACAGUUGUAUACAAUAUAUAUUUAACACUCUUCCUCAAGCUGGAGCAUAUAAAUUAAAUGCUCCAAGCUUGGAACAUGAGCUGAAGCAUAAGAAAGAUUCUUCUUCUAAGUUAGAUGAUGCGGUGAAGCUUGAUUGCUUGAUUGAAACCCCUGAUUGAAACUCAGUUGACUACCAAACUGGAAAGGACUGCCUCCAGAUGAAGUUGAUGAUUCCAAAUACAAAAUUUGAUUUAACUGGGGCAGGUUGCUGACUUGUGUGGAUGUCGAGGCUGCUGCUGUCGGAGUGAAUGAGGAUUGAGGAGUUGAUGCACUGGAGGUUGAUCAAAACAUUGAGGGAGAACUGUCAGAAGUAACAAACACAGUGGAUGACGAUGAUGUACUAAAUGUGGAGCCAAAUGCAGACUUAGUGGGCUGCCAACUAAAGUAGAACUUAGACCACAUUGGCAGCCCACUAAGAGUAGACCACCGAAGAGGAAGCAGGGGUGCCAAGUUCAAAAGAUGUGGCAAGACUUGAAGAAGGAAACAACAAAUUCCCAAAAACAAAAGCUGCACUUGCUCCAGGGCUAGACUUCAAAGUGAUUAGUAUUGAUUAGGAGACCACACACUCCCCCUCACGAGAUGGAAGGUGGAGUCAACACUUCCAGCUUGGGAUGAACAAUAAAGUACAAAAAUAGACAAUGAAACAUGUCAAAAAUACAUUGGCAGCAGAUUGAAAAUGACUGAAAAACAUUCAAAGACAAUUGGAAUAUGUUAAACCAUUAAGCAGAAGCCACAACACAAUGCUUAACCACUUAACAGAAGCAAACACACUUAACCACCUAAAAGGUAGAAGCAAACCAAAGCUUAACCAUCAAGAGCAGAAGCUAAACAUGGUGCUUAACCACUCAAGACAGAAGCAAAACACAAUUUUUGAAUGCUUAACCACUAAAGGCAGAAGCAACACAACAAUGUUUAACCAUCCAUGGUAGAAGCUUGACAUCAAUGUUUAACCACCAUGGAUAGAAACUUAAUGACCUUUUUUUAAUAGUAGGGGUUCUUGACCAGAUUGAACCCCCGGGAACAACAAUUGCUUCAAGGACAGAGACAAGGAAGAAAUUGCUGGACAACAGGAUCAACAAAUGACUUAUAAUAGGGUUCUUGACCAGAUUGAACCCUAGGGACAGGGAUAUUAAUCAGUAGACCACACAACAAAUGAAUAAAAGGACAUGAGACAAUGGAGCUGCACAGUAAAGGGUUAAGAGAGACAAACUAAAAGAAGCCUUGUGAGCACUUCUGGCCAAACUAAAAGAAAACUUAAAAAAAAAAAAACAGUAGCAUCCCUACCAAUCUUUCUUCAAAAGUACAAUGGAGGAUGACCAAGGAACAGAAAGAACAGGGUCUAAAGUUGACAUUUUUAGAACCAUAACACAAUGGAACUUCAAAGGCAGCUGGAAGGGGAACCUUGGCAACAUUCAAAACCAUACCAAACUGAGUAACUGCUUUUAAGGAAGCCAAAGCAAUGGGUAACGACAGUGGCCUUAAAUAGGACCAGAACAUGCCAUAGUUCUGUAGACAAAGAAGAAGGGCCAAAAGGAGAGGUUUGAGCGGCUAACGACGGUGGCUGACAGUAGAGAAGGAGAAUACGGGAUCAACAGAGGCCAUUUCUGAUCAAGGAGAAGAAGCCCUAAUGGAGAAAGAGAAGGGAACGCAAGGGCUGGAACAAUCAAGUUGUCAAUACCGGAAAACAGGGAUUGAAAUGUGCCCAAAAGGAGACAACAAAGCUGUUAAAACUGGGUGCACAGUGCCGGAAGAAGCCAUUUCUGACCAAAGAAACGAAACCCUAAUAGAGAAAAAGGAGGAAACACGAGGCUGACACGUUCCAGGUGGUCAAAAUUAAAAAACAAGGGCUGGACCGUACCCAGGACUGGCCGACGAAGCGACUGGAGGUGGUCCGGAGAGGUUCCGACAACAGGAAGGCAGCACGUGGCCUUCACGUGCCGGAAAUGAUGCGUUGCUGAUCACGCGACGUGCAGGGGUCGGUCGCGCUCUUCGAGGUGCACCUAACCCUGGUUUUGCCAGAAAAUUUGACGGCGACCGGAGGCAACGGCGGCAGACAGCGGACGGCGGCCAUAGCAGGUCAUAACGGGAUCGUUCCUGCUCUGAUACCAUGUUGAAAAUUUAGAACUACAUUGCUUAAGGACUUGAGAUACUCCAAAACUUGAAUUUGAAUGAGUGGAGAUAAUUGUCACACUCAGCCCUUAGCUUUUUAUUAACACACACACACACACACACACACACACAUAUAUAUAUAUAGUACAGAGAAAGAGAGAGAGAAAGGGAAAACUGCCUUUGGAUAAGGAUUAGACACUCAACUUCCCACACACUCGACAUGACAACACAUAAAGCUUAAUACACACUCAACCUCACUCACACACUCAAAGCAUCCUUUUACCUACACAGCUAUCUACACAAUACAGUUGUAUACAAUAUAUAUUUAACAUAUAUAUAUAUAUAUAUAUAUAUAUAUAUAUAUAUAUAUUAAAUAAAAGUUGCAUUUUUUAUAUAUGUAUACUUUAGUUGUUUUAUCCUUGAGUCGGCCCUGCCUUUCAACUGGAUGAAAUUCUUAAUUCAAGAGUCAUAACCAGAAAUGUCAAGCUUAUUUCCCUCAUUCUUGUGAAAUGAUGUAUUCAACCAAUCAUUAAAGCUACUAGGGAAGAUGCAGAUGUUAUCAAAGGACAAUUUCCUUGUUUUAGCCUUAAGGACAAGGCUGCUUCUGCACCUGGGAGUAUUGAUAGCCUAGUCCAACAUGAUAUGACUGAAUUUUUGGAGACUGAAGGUCUUGUCAAAGUCUAUGUUAGAAGAAGAAAAAAAGGUGAUUGAUGGUUGUUAUGCAAGAGGACAAUUAUGUGCCUAGAAGGACAAUUUUGUGUGUUUUAUUUAUGUGUAUGGUGUGGUAGUUAUUAUUAUUCUGGGUGUGGUUUUUUUGUUGUGUGUUUGUGAGAGGACCAAGAGAACUCUCUAUUAGGGCUUAAACCUAUGUAAAAUGUUGCUUUACUUUAAUUCUGGUUUAAUCCAAACUUUCAAUAAAUAAAAUUCUUGUCUUAUUUGUGUGUUCGAACUCUUGAAUUUAAGCAAAAAACUCGAAAGAAUGAGACAAAACUGUGUUCUUUCGGCUGGAGAAGUCUCAUUAAAUCAGCUAAACUAACACAAUUAAGGGAGUCUAACUUAGUUAGUUAAGGAGGUGCAUGAGUUGUUAUAAAAAAAAUAACACACAUAUAGGCACAAACACAUAACAUACAUACAUCCUAAUUAAGGAGAGAAUAAAACAUUUACACAGUCCAAUUUUAGGUUUUGCUAAUUUAGCUACCAUACUAAAGCUUUUCUACAUAUACAUGAUAUAUAGACCCAAUAUUUGUUAGAGAAAACUUAGCUAGCAUACUAAAUGCUUUUCUGCAUAUAUAGAUUAUGCAAAUACAAAAUAGAAAACCUUUCCCUGACAAGAACCCAGGUACAAAUUAGAAGCUGCAAGGGCUGGGGCAGGGACAAGGAUAGUGUGUUUAGCAAUUUUCCCAUUGAAGAGUGUUGUCUUCCACCUCACUUUCUUAGAACUUGUAGUUGGGCUUGGGCUCCUUGAAGGAGAAAGAGUAGUAGUAGAACAUGAAGUUGCGCAGCCAUCCUCAUCUUCUCAAUCAGCGCUUCAGUAUUCACUUGCUUAGAUAAAAUUUCCUCAAGUUGUCUCGGGUCAAUCAACAACUUCACUCUCCACACCCCAUUCUUAGCUUUUGGCAGCACUUCAAGCGCUGACCCAUGUGACAAAUUGUCAACAUAAUCACAUGCUGCAGAUUUGCACAUUUCCUCUAAAGACGUGCUUCUUAAAGGGAUGGUAGCCUGUCAUGACCUCUACAAAUUCCUUGGCUUGCUUUAGUCAACUGGACAACAAUGCAAGGCCUCUUUCAGUGUGAAUACCAUUUCCUAUGGUAGCUCAAAACCUGUGUGAAGUGCUUGUUCAUCAAAUUCUACAACUUUUGUUGAUAGAAUGUGUCCUACUGUGUCUCAUGUAAACAUUGCCUUUACUAGCGCUAUUUGUUUUGGUAGUUGGCAUUUCAGAUUAGGUCAUCCAAAUGUUCAUAGUAUGAAAGUUGUGCUCAAAUUGUGUAACAUACUUUUUUAUCAAUACAACAGGUUCUGAUUUCUGCAUUGGCAAGUGUCAUUGUCUUCCCUCUUUCCCUUCCCUUACUCAGUACUCUAGUACCUUUGAACUCAUUCAUACAGCUUUGUAGCAUCCAUCCCCUUUCUUAUCCAGCGCUGAUUAUAUAUAAUAUGUAACCUUUGUUGAUGGUCACACUGACUUGGGUUUUUCUGUUGAAAUGUAAUUAUAAAAGUCUAUAAUCUGUUUAAAUUAUGGUGGGGGGCUAUUGGGAGUUCUAUUGCAAGCUCGAGGUGAGAAGAACAAGAUGUACUAUCAGCAGCACACAGAUUCUCAAGUUGUUGAUAAUCUCAUUGGUGUCAUCUUUGCUGCACAUGACACCACAACAAGUGCUCUAACAUGGGUCCUCAAGUACUUGCACGAUAACACCAAUCUAUUGGAAGCUGUGACGGUCACACUCUUUCUCUCUUUCAUUAUUCAAUUUUAUUUUCUCCAAUUAUUGCUUAAUUUCUCAUUUUUAUACACAUUUUUUUCAUCAUAUCAUCUAUAAUGUUUAGAACUUAAAUCAUAAUUAAUAUGAAUUUUAUAUUUUUUAUUAUUAUUAUCAAUCAAUUUACAUUAUAUGAUAAUAUGUGAUUGAUUAUGUAAAAAUUAAUCAUCUUUGUAUAUGUUAUUUACUCGUAAUAUUAAUUAUUAUUCCAAUUUUUUUAUAUCUUCUCUCUCACUUAAAGUACAUAUGCCCCCAAAGCUUGUCAACUCGUAAUAUUAAUUAUUAUUCCAAUUUUUUUAUAUCUUCUCUCUCACUUAAAGUACAUAUGCCCCCAAAGCUUGUCAACUCGUAAUAUUAAUUAUUAUUUCAAUUUUUUCUUUUCCUUUUUAUCUUUUGUGGAAAGUAUGGUUAUGAUAACUUCAGCUCAUCUCCAAGGCCUGAUUCAAAUUUAAUCUAGUUUUUAUUCUCAUUUUUUAAAAAUAAGAAUUUAAUUAAUAUCUCAAUCAUGCAUGAUUAAUUUUGUUAAAUAUUAGAAAGGUUGUGAAAUAAUUAUAAUACUACUAAACUGAAUUUCAUCAGGUGAUCCAAGAAACAUUGAGAAGUGCAAGCAUUUUGUCAUUCACAUUCAGAGAAGCAGUGACAGAUGUUGAGUUGGAAGGUUACACUAUUCCAAAUGGUUGGAAGGUCCUUCCACUCUUCAGAAGCAUUCAUCAUUCUGCUGACUUCUUCCCUCAGCCAGAGAAGUUUGACCCUUCAAGAUUGGAGGUAAAAUAUGUUGGAAAUUUAACAAUGAGUUUUAAAUUAUGAUAAUGGAGUAUAAAAUAAAAUAACUCAUGCAUAUAUAUCCUUAACAUAUAUGUGAUGUCAAAACCCAUUAUUGCAUUCUUUUUCUAAUCUUAUUGAUGAAUAUCUCUCUCCUUUUACACAUCCAACAACAAAAUAUCUCAUUUAUCUAACUUCAUAUAUAUAAGUGUGCACAAAUUAAAUAAAUGAAUAAAAUAAUACUACAUUAUAAUAAGAAUUCAAGCAAUGAUUUCGGGACUAGGGGUUAUAGAGGGUGGGGGGGGGGGGGUUAUAUUUUAUCUUUUACGUCAGAAACAUAAGGUUAUGAAUGGUUAGAGAUUAUCCUGCUGUAAAGUCCCAUUCGUUACCUAUUUGAAUCUUCCCCUUCUAAGGUGAUUCAGUGUUUUUCACAAUCUUGCGAGUAUCAGAGGCACGUGAUAUAAAUUUGUAGGGUAGUAGGAUAAUUAAUUUAUUUCUCUAUCCUUUUUGCUCAACAGCAGACAAAUAUUGCUACAUAUAUGAUAUUAUAUUAUUUAAUAAUAUAAUAUCAAUGCAUAAUUUUUUCCACUAAUAACAUACAUCAUAUUCAUCUGUAUGACAUAGUGACAUUAUCCUUAAGGUAUUUGUGUAGAAAUUAAGGCUGAGACAUAUAACCACGAGCAAAUAAUGCCUGAAAUAAAAACUUUGUAACUUAACCUUUCUUUGUAGGCAUGAUUAUUGUGACCAAUUAUAUAACAUUUUCCGUUUAUAGAGUUCAUUACAAGCUAAGAAUUAGCAUGGGUCUUGCAUGAACUUUUUUGCAAAAUUAGUUUGUUAGCUACGAUAGAGAUCUCUCAAUUAUAUAGUGCUAGCUGCAUGUUCCUUAAUAUAUGGAAAUGGUCCUUUUUGACGCAUUAAAAAAAAAGGGUUUCUUUUAGAGUGUACAUUCCAAAACAUUAUAGCCACUACUAGAAAAGUGAUUUUGAUAUUUGAGUUAGAUAUCUUUUGAUUUUGACAAAGGUUGAAUCAUAUAUGUUUCAGAUCUAUUGUUGUAAAUUUAGAUUUGGCUCAGAUCUCUUUUAUUUUGAUGAAGUUUGCUUCUUUUGAUAAAUUUUUGUACUUAAUUAUGUAAAUUGUUGUAAUAUGUAAUUAAAUGAUUUUAUAAUUGUUGAAAAUGAUGAUUAGAUUUUUGGUUUCCAUCAAUGUAUAAUUUGUUGCUUAAAACUACCUGACAACAAGGACAAAAAACCACAGAAAAAACCAAAAAAAUAUAAUAAAAUAGCACCAAUAAAAAAAAUUCAACUCUAAGACAAUUAUUAUAUACUUGUCUUAGAAUGGUGGACAAACUAAGUCGGUUAUUAAAUGAUCGUCUUAAUUUGUCAACCAUUCUAAGACGGUCAUUUUAAUAAUUGUCUUAGAUUCACAACUAUGAACAGGACAAUCUAAGACGGUUAUUAUUUAAUCGUCUUAGUAUCUCUAUCAUUCUAAAUCGGUUAAAGAGAAAAUCGUCUUAGAAAGUAGAGUAUACUAAGACGGGUUAGGUGCAAAAACCGUCUUCGUAGAUCUACCUAAAGGUCUUAGAAUAAUCAUCUUUCUAAGACGGUUCAACAACUGUCAUAGUAUAUGUGAUGCCAUUUUACGACAUGCUCUUUCAAGACGGUUAAAAACCGAUUUAGAACGACCUAAUCAACCAACUUAGAAAAUGCUAAUUCUAGUAGUGUUUGGUCAUCCAUGCAUCUGUUUUUAGGGAUUAUACAUUGAGAAAUGAUAAUGUCUAAAAGAAUUGGAAAAGAGCAUCUCAACAUUGCAUUAUUAGGGAUAUAAUGACUUUGUUGUGUCUUUGUAUAUAUCUUCAUACUUAAUUUUAUUUAUGAUUCAAUCUUUACAAAGGGAUUUGGGAGAGAUAAUACAUAAAUUAGUAGAUGUGGGUGAAAAUUGGAAAAGCAGUUAAUAGAGAAAAAUAUUAAUAUUGCAUCAAUGAUAGUUAGGCAUGCUAGGCUUCAACAUAAUUGCAUUUUGAAAUCAUCUUUUGUUCUCUUCUUGUUUAUUUUCUUGUUUAUUUUAUUAUUCUUGCCUUUUUAAAUUUAAUUUCUUUCUUUCUUCUUAUUUCUAUUCUACUUGCUCUUCUCUUGCUUAUGAAUUGGAUAUUUAUCAACACAAGUACAAACAAAGUCCUUGUGGACUUGAUACUCGAUCUUUCAUUUUAAUCUUUACUACUUGUGAUAAAAUUGGUACAUUUGUCAAUCUGUUAACAGUAACUUGAUAAUGCGAUUCGCAAGGCGUUCGAAAUUGGUUAGGUAUUCGUUCACUGUACCCCUCUAUGGCAGCUUGAACAACGAACCCUAAGGGUCAUCAUAAAAAGAUGGUGCAAAUCACGAUUCCAACACUUGAAGCAUGGUUGGCCAAGAGUAAGGAAACAAUUCUUGUACAUCCACUGAUACCACGAAAGGGCAGGGUCUUCCAUAUAGAAUGCGGCUACGGUGAGUCGUUCUGCUUCAGGUAUGCCUUGGUAGUCAAAAAAUUGUUGAAUUUUAAAAAUCCACCCAAGUGGAUCUUGCCAUGUCAAAUUUGGGGACCUCUGGCUUCAUGUGUGGUUUGGUGGACAGAGGAGGACGUGGUGGUGUUUUGGGUGAAGGUGGGGGAAUGGUGAGGGUGGCAAGCUGAUCCAGGAUGAUUUCAAUCUUGUUGUUCAACUCUGUGUGGCCUCUGGUGAGGUGAGCCAUUGCUUCUUCCAAACAUUCAAUUGAAGCUUGGCGGGUAUUGUGUUUCAGCAUAAAGGCACGGAAGGAGGAGCAGGUCGAACCAAAACCAAAAUGUUAGGUAAUUUUAUUCCACUGAUAAGAAAUAAAUUGUAAAGAUAAUUUUCCUGUCUAUUCUUAUUGAAACUUCAGAUAUUUAAAGGGUAACACAAUACUGCAAAGCACAAAACUAUAAAGCCGAUAAUGGACAUAACAGAAAUGCCACCUAAGGAAUAAUAGAAUUCCACUAAAGGAGUAACAGAAUUCAACUAACAGCCUAAUGGUUGUCUAUCAAAGGGAGAGGGAAUUCUCUAGCGGUAUCAGACAUAAUCCUCUAAAUGAGUGGGCCUUCAGGUUAUACUUUUGGGUCUGCUAUCUCCCUUGUUAGAAUUCCAAACAGUAAGUUGUAAUCUAGGAUUUCUCCAUGUCAAAGAUGAUGGAAGCUUGCUUGUGGGGCUUCUAUGGAGGCUGGAUCUUUGAGCUUCAAUGGGGUCCUUUAAUGGUGAUUUUCCACCAUGGGGAUGCAGCGGAAGACAAAGGAAAAGAGGUGAGAGGAGGCGCCAUCCAUUAAGGAAUAAGCCAUGGAAGAAAGAGCUUCACCACCAUGAUGAGCCUUGGAUAAGAAGCUUGGAGAGGAUGCUUCAAUGGAGGAAAAGAAAGAGGGAGAGAAAGAAAGAGGGGGGAGCACAAAAUUGAAGGAAGAAAAAGGGAGAGAAGUUGAACUUUGUGUUGUGUCUCACAAGACUCUCAUUCAUCAAAGUUACAACAAGUGUUACACAUGUUUCUAUUUAUAAACUAGGUAGCUUCCUUGAGAAGCUUUCUUGAGAAAACUUCCUUGAGAAGCUUCUUUGAGAAAACUUCCUUGAGAAGCUAGAGCUUAGCUACACACACCCCUCUAAUAACUAAGCUCACCUCAUUGAGAAGCUUCCUUGAAAAGAUUCCUAAAGAAGCUAGAGCUUAGCUACACACAUCUCUCUAAUAGCUAAGCUCACCUCCUUGAGAUGAGAAGCUAGAACUUAGCUACACACCCCCUAUAAUAGCUAAGCUCACCCCCAUGACAAAAUAUAUGAAAAUACAAAAAAAAAAAGUUCCUACUACAAAGACUACUCAAAAUGCCUCGAAAUACAAGGCUAAAACCCUAUACUACUAGAAUGGCCAAAAUACAAGGCCUAAACGAAGGAAAAAACCUAUUCUAAUAUUUACAAAGAUAAGCGGGCUCAUACUUAGCCCAUGGGCUCAAAAUCUACCCUAAGGCUCAUGAGAACCCUAGGGCCUUCCCUUGGAUCUCUGGCCCAAUCUACUUAGAGUCUUUUAUCCAAUGCCCUUGCGGGGUAGGGUUGCAUCAUUCCCUCCAUCUUGGAAAGGAUUUGAACUCAAAUCCCGAGGUUCUUCAUACUUUGGGCUCCUUCCCUCAACACCUGUAAAAAGAACAAAAACAUAUGUAUUAGUGGUGUUUGGUAUGUUGAAGUAAGGUAAGGUCUGAAAACCCAUUUCCUGGGCAUCUUCCCAUGAAGGAACAUGGUUUCUCACCAACUCAAUGAGUGGUGCUACAAGUAUAGAAAAAUAUGGGACAAACCUUUUGUAAAAGUUUGUUAAGUCAUGGAAGCCCCAAAUUUUUCUUAUACUUGGUGGAGUGGGCCACUCAGGAAUGACCUUUAUUCUCUUAGGGUUCAUGGGAACCCCUUGAUCACUAUUUGAAAAAUUAAGAAAAGUAACGCAAUAAAACAUACCUUUUUCUGUAUUUUCAUAUUGAUUAUUCCUACCAAAAAGUAUGGCAAACCUAAGGUGUCCCAUAUGAGUACCUAAGUUUGUAUUGAAACUAAAAAUAAGAAAAAACCUAUCUAAUGGGUCCCUAUGUACACACACCAUGAAGAUGUUAGGUGUACGAGUGAUUUUACAAAAGAGGGUUGUACCACUCAAAACAUUUAUCAUACCACCUAUUUUAGGGACUUGGUGCCUAAUAAUACCUAUUUUAGGCACCAAAAAAGCACAAGGAUUUAAGCUCUUGCAAACCAAACCCUCAUCCAACAACUUCUUUACUUGAGGAAUAAACUCAAGUCCAAGAGGUGUGGCAAUGCUAGCAAGUGUCUUUAUACAAAAGAGAAAAUGUGGAGAUUGUCUAAGAGGGAAAGUUUCUUUAAUGUUUGUCUUUAUUGUAAAAUGAGUUUGCUUCUUAGCUAACCUCUUGGAGGAGACACUUACCUCCUUACACUUCUCUUUAACCACUAAUGGUUGUCCAUCUUCUUGGGGGUAGAUUUCUUCACUAGAUUCUUCCCCUUUUGCUUCUUCACUUUCACUAGAGGAAGGUGAAGUAAUAGCCUCAUCUUGGCUACUAUAAAUGUCUUGGCCCCUCAUAAUCAUGGUUUUUGUGGUGGGGCAUUGAGAAGUAAUGUGUCCUCUUCCAAGACAUUUAAAGCACUUUAUAGAGCUAGUUUUCUCUUGCAUACUAGCCUUAGGGGCUUGCUUUUCUAUUGCCUUCCCCUUAUCAUCUUUGGGCUUAGAAGGUUUCACCCCUAAGAUGCCUUGACCUUGGUCUUUCUUUGGAUAAGAGUGAGAGCCAUAAGAUUUUGAAGUAGACUUCUUUUUAAGUUGUUGCUCUACCCUUAUUUCCCAAUCUAAGUUAGCCUCUACAUUGUCCUUCCCAUGGAAGUAUGAGAGGUUAAUGUUAGCCUCUUGAGGCUUUCUUUCCUUUUCUCUUCUAUGGGAGUGAGGUCUAAGAUGUGACCUAUGUCUUCCUUCGUAAUAGUCACGAAGUUCUUCACUUAGGCUCUUGCAAGAGUUAUGACUACUAUAGGAGGCAUGUUUUUCUCUUUUCAUUUCUUUCAUUAUUUUUCUUCUUUCUUCCUCUCUUAUUUUCUUUCUUUCAUCUUGACUUAUUUCUUCCACUCUUCUUUUUUCCUUUUUCUUUUCUCUCUUGUUUUUCUUUCCAUAACUUGAGGGAACUUAAAUCAUCUAAGAUUCUAGAUAAAGGGUCUUUAUGACUAGUACCCUUGCCAUUAACACUAGAUGAAUGAUGACUCAUGUUGGUUCCUAAGUUGUGGUUCUUUCUUGUUGGAGGUUUGAAAACAAAAGGUAAAAGAAACUAUGGUUGAAACUAGCCAAAAUAAACACUAAAAGAGGUGUGAAAGAUAAGGUAAAAACUAAUUGGUAAAAUGCAAGCUAUCUAGGCGGUUUGACAAUGGAAAGUAAAAGAAAUAAGCUACGAAAGUAAGCAAGAAAUGUAAAUUAGGCGAAUCCUAAGAGUGUUUGGAUGACCACAUUUAAGGUUCCCAACAAAACACUCACAAUCCUAAGGGAAAAUUGCCUAAAAUUAUUACACACAAAAAGAAGUAGGGUGACCUAUUGGAGGCUCCCAACUUACUUCCAACGAAAGGCCUUUUUGUUACAAAAUUUGAAAGCAAUGAAAGUAAAGUAAAUUGUCAAUUACAAAAUUGCAAAAAGGUCCUCAAUUUUGGUGGUUUUUCUCUCUUUGGUGAUUCACUCAAUUUGGAGUGCUUCUUAGUCCAAUAGCUCAUAAGGUGAUUGGCCCCUUGCUUCUUGACUCAAAUUCUUCAAGGGAUGGCACCAAUCCUCCUUUCCAAUUCCCUAUAUGGCAACUUACAAACAAGGAAACAAAGAGACAACAAUAACCAAAGACCAAAAAAUGAAAUGAAAGUUAAACCAAUGGAAUUUUAACAAGACAUUUUUUUCUAGGAUUAUUCAACAAUUAAAGCAAUGAAAAGGACAUAGAAGCAAGUUAGGACUCAAAGAGAAACUUAGAAUGGCUCUAGAGUAGAGUAAAAAAACUAAAAAAAAGACUCAACAAAACUCUAGCUUUGGCACUUGUUUUCACACUAAUUUUCUAUUGAAAUUUCGGAACUAAGAUUGGUAUAACAUAGGCACCAAUUAUAGAAUAAAUUUUGAGCCAAAACAACAAGCACACUUCCCUUUCACUUUUUUUUUCCUGGAUACUGAUUUUUCUGCCAACUUGUGUGAUUUUUAGUAUUUUUUCCUUUUAUCCAAAUCACUUUUUUCUUUUUGUAUAAAUUUUUUACAGAUGUCUAGAAAAUUCAGUAAAAAUUUCAGCUCAAAAUUCGAUGUAACAAAUUCUCAGUAAUUUUUACAAGUUUAUAUGUCCAAGCUGCCAGCACCAGCGAUUUUUUUUUAAGCAUGGUAUAUUGAUUGCCUUGGGCUUACUUUCAACCUUACUAUGUAUGUAGAACUCACUAAUCUUGUUUACCACAGUUUUAGGAGUUCAAUAUUCACUUAGGAAUAAAAUUUCAGCCAGCAAUUCAAUCACCAAAACUCAAAUUCACAAUAGACACAAUCAUAAGGAAACCUAAAAGUUCAAGAAAAGGUUCACAAUCAAAGACUUUCUAAGAAUUUUGCAUGAACAUGUUAAGGACUAAUUAACAUGCAAGAUUUGACUCAAAUCAAAUAAUAGGCUAAAAGAAUUUCAUACACUCAUGAACAAAUGAGUUAGACAAAGAAACAAGAAAAUAAAAUUCAGCACAACAUAAGAAAUCUUAUGUGACAAGUUUCAUGAUAGACAUGACUUCUAUGACAAAACUACAAUAGGUGAACAAGUCACUCUAGAUUUUUGAGGUUUUCUUCUACUUUAAUAUUUUUGUAAGAAUUUUAUGGUUUAGGUUUCAGCCAAAAAAAAUAACAAGACAAAACUCAAAGGAACCUAAACUCAACAUAAUUCAUGGUUCAAGAACAAGAACAAGAAAUUUGAACCAUAGAAAAUCAAAUCUAGCUUCUAUAGCAAGUUUAAUCGGUGGAAACUCUAAAGAAUCAUGUUAACAACAUUUAGCACAAGACAUGUGAGGAGAUACAUGGAGAAAAAUGAAGAAACAACAAUGGAAGAGAAGGUAAAGCAAAAAAUUUAAUGGAGGUUUAAGGAGCACCUACUUGAAGCUCUUGUGCUCUGAUUACCACUUGAUGGAAGCUUGCUUGUGGGGCUUCUAUGGAGGCUGGAUCUUUGAGCUUCAAUGGGGUCCUUUAAUGGUGAUUUUCCACCAUGGGGAUGCAGCGGAAGACAAAGGAAAAGAGGUGAGAGGAGGCGCCAUCCAUUAAGGAAUAAGCCAUGGAAGAAGGAGCUUCACCACCAAGAUGAGCCUUGGAUAAGAAGCUUGGAGAGGAUGCUUCAAUGGAGGAAAAAAAAGAGGGAGAGAAAGAGAGAGGGGGGAGCACGAAAUUGAAGGAAGAAAAAGGGAGAGAAGUUGAACUUUGUGUUGUGUCUCACAAGACUCUCAUUCAUCAAAGUUACAACAAGUGUUACACAUGUUUCUAUUUAUAGACUAGGUAGCUUCCUUGAGAAGCUUUCUUGAGAAAACUUCCUUGAGAAGCUUCUUUAAGAAAACUUCCUUGAGAAGCUAGAGCUUAGCUACACACACCCCUCUAAUAACUAAGCUCACCUCCUUGAGAAGCUUCCUUGAAAAGAUUCCUAAAGAAGCUAGAGCUUAGCUACACACACCUCUCUAAUAGCUAAGCCCACCUCCUUGAGAUGAGAAGCUAGAACUUAGCUACACACCCCCUAUAAUAGCUAAGCUCACCCCCAUGACAAAAUACAUGAAAAUACAAAAAAAAAAGUCCCUACUACAAAGACUACUCAAAAUGCCUCAAAAUACAAGGUUAAAACCCUAUACUACUAGAAUGGCCAAAAUACAAGGCCUAAACGAAGGAAAAAAACCUAUUCUAAUAUUUACAAAGAUAAGCGGACUCAUACUUAGCCCAUGAACUCAAAAUCUACCAUAAGGCUCAUAAGAACCCUAGGGCCUUCCCUUGGAUCUCUGGCCCAAUCUACUUGGAGUCUUCUAUCCAAUGCCCUUGCGGAGUAGGAUUGCAUAAAAAGAAAUGCAAGAUUGUUCAUGUGUUGAAAUUUUGCUAUUUCAAUUAAUAAAUAUAUAAAAGCAUCUUUGUAUUCUUCGAAGUUAUUACUCCCUAAGAUUAAGAAACUUGAAGCACCGCGCACAUAAUAUGCAAAAGCAGCAACUCUUGCCGUGGAAUAACUGGGUUGGCUUUACGUCAAUAUUUGCUUAUUAACUAGUGUUUUUAUUAUAGGAAACAAGCUCUUAAUUUGGACAAAGAACAUGGGACAGGACCUAAACCGAAGUGGGUCACUGAAAUGGUGCAAUCCAAAUGAAAUGCAAAAGCUGAAUCCCCUGUAAUAAUUACACAAUCUGUCCAAUUGCUUUUAUCUAGAGAGCCUUAAAGCAGUCUUUCUAAUUGUUACUUUAUUGCAAAUGAAGUGCACGAUGGAUCUGUAAUUGAAAAUGCUACUGCACAGUUUAAUACAAAUACAAUGGAUAAAAACAAAAUGAAUGUAAAAGUAAGGAUUCUAAUCGGUUGACAUAAUUAUCUUUGUCCCAAAUGUAAUUUUGUAACUGCAAAACAAAACAUAUUCAAAUUUGGCCAAAUAUCAAACUUUGAGAAAUUAUUAGGAAAUUUAAGAGCAACAAGUGUCUAUGCAUGUUCUCAACCAAUGUUUGCGCAACACAUUCAAAAUGUAUAAAUUAUAAGAAAUAAUUAAUAACACUUUGCUUGCUUCACGUCAUGUGACGUUUAAAGAGUGAUUAUGUGAUUCAGAAUUGCUUAAUUUCUCAUACAAUGCAUGUAAUUUUUAGAAGAAACAAAAUAGUACGUAAAGACCAUUUCUCUUCCUUUUAUUCCAGGUUGCCGUAAUUUUGUGUGAGUAAUUAUCGCUUUUCGAUUUCUCGUUUUAUUCUCUUUCACAAAGAUAUAUCAGAGUUUGUCUGUGGCAUCAUGCUUUAAUCAAACCAACUUAAAAUUCAUGUAUAUAAAAAGAAAAACCAACUUAAUAUUCAAAAUUUUCAUUUGCCUUUUGUUUCUAAAACUGCUACCUUUCUUUCCUUUUUUUUUAUCUUUAUCCAAAAUUUAUUAAAUAACAAUCUCGCGUAGUUUGGGGAGGCACAAACACACCCAUUAUUUAGGCUCCUUCCCUCUAUCUUGUUUUUAUUCUCACUUACACUCUAAGGCAACUUUUCUCUCUUUACGUAUACUCUCCUUUCUCUGCCCAUAAAAAAUUGACACACUUUAAUUAAUCACCCACUCACAUGCGCAUGUUCUGACACACACACCAAAAUCUCUCAUCAGUAAACUUCAAUUCAGAGCGUGUUUGUCCCCGUUCAAGACACAGGAUCUCCGUCCAAGCACAAGCUAUCAAGUGUGUGUUUGAUUUGAUGUUAGAAAAUAUUAUAAAUCUAAAAUUGAUAUUAGAUUGAAUUUUACAUGUUUAAUUUUAUGUUAAAAAAAUUAUAAAAUUAAUUUUAGAUUUAGAAUUGAUUCUAAAUUAAUUAAAAUAAUUUUAAAUAAUUUAUUAAAUUAAUUUUACCAACAGUGUAAGAAUAGCUUCCUAACUUUUUUUCAUACCAAAUGGGAAGUUGACGUGGUUUUGAAGUGAAAGUAUAUAUGUUGACAGUAAAAAGUUUCCACCCACAGCACUCUCACUGGCCUAACAAUAUUUACUGACCCUCCCACGUACUUAUUGUCUUGGCAACCAUUUCUUCAAUUCGAAAUGUCUCAUUUUCAUGCACAUAGUGAUCAUAGUGCUGCUGUGCAAAUGCCACUAGCAAGACUUCAUCAUUGCACCAGUAGCAACCAAGGCAUGCAUAUAUGUCCGUUUAGUUUUGGUACCAAAGAGCAACCAAAGUCUGAGAAUUUAUGCCUUGGAGAAGCUUCACGAAUUCUUUUGGAAAAAUCCGCUAAAUUAACAAUCUUCAAACACUCGAGAUCAGAAUAUAAAAUAGAGAAAAUUUGUAUUUUCUGAUUGAUUGAUUCUGUACAAAGGGUCCUCAAAUAUGUAGGUACAAGAAUCGGCUUAAAAAUUCCUCAAAAAAAUCGGCUAAAAAAUCCCUCAAAAAAAAAUAGGCUAAAAGUGAGAAAAGAAUAAACUAAAUCUAAAGGUAUGAUCCUAGUUAAUUGCAUAAUAUCAGUAAAUCUCCUUAAAAUAGGCUAUAAUAAUGAAAACAAUAAAAAUAAAAUGUAGAUAAAGCAAAGCCAACCAAAUCUAUACCAUAUCUCCAAAUGAGAGUCCCUAUCAUAUAAUAUCCCAUAAUUUUCAUAUCUCAAAAAAAAAACAAAAAGCAUAUUAGCCCAAACAUCACCCGUAGUCCCCACAUGAGCACAAACCACUUUUUAAGUGGUGAAAUCCCUUUCGAAGCAUCAAUGUUAAAUUGUACGUUAAUGUAUGUCCUUAUCACAUAACUAAAUGCAUGUUAAAUCAUGUGCAAAACCAGGUUAGAAAUCGGAAGUACUUUCACCCACUAAGACACACAGGGGAUCUUUAUAUAUAUAUCGUGAGAGAUGAACUGAAAGAACAAUAAGACACGAGAAACUAUAGGUUCAAAGACAGGUUGUCUUCAACGAUAGAUUAUUCGAAAAUUAUCUUUAUCAUCAUUUCCUAUAAUUAUAAAAACUAGACACACAUUACGCGUGGCGCGGGUUUAUAAAUAAUUAAAGAAAUAUUUAAAUAAAUUAUUUGUUUGAUAAAUUAAAUUUAAAAAUAUAAUUAUCAAUGAUAUUUCAUAUCAUUUUUUGUUAAAUGCGACAAAAGAAUUAUGUAUAAAUUAAAAUAUUUUUUAUAUAUUAAUAUAUUUAUAAGAAAUAUUCUAAAAUCAGAGAUUGACCAUUCAAUUAAAGUUGAUUAACGCGAAAAUAAAAAUAAGCGUUGAGUAUAAAUUUUAUGAGGGUAAUAUAAGAAUAAAGUGAAAUUGACAUAAUAAAGCAGUCAAAGAAAUAUAUUUAAUGAAAGAAAAAUAAUCAAUCAUAAUGGUAAAAAAACAUAAAAAUGAUACAAAUAAAACACCAAAAAUUAUUCAUUUAAAUAGACUUUUUGUAUCUUUUGAUGAUGAAGAUGUAUCUUUUGACUUCUUGGAUGGUUGUACCUUUGGACUUUGACUUCUGACAAUUUGUUUAUUCGCCUUUUUUUUUAAUGGACUUUGUGAAAUUUGAUAGACUUGUUCAUUAGAUGAUGAAGAUGUACCUUUUGACUUAUUAGAUGUUUGUAACUUUGGCCUUUGACUUAUAAUUAGUUUUUCACCUUACUCAUCUGAUGAUAUUUGUUGUGGUGAAGUAGGCUUCUUUUUUAAUAAAAAUAUUAAUCAGUGUACAAAACUAUUAAUAUUUUGUACAAGAAGUAAAAAUGAAAAUAAAUUAUAAAUAUGGUUACAUGUUCUUGAGGAGAGAAUCAUGUUGAAUGAUAUUUUUUGAGAUAAAAGUACUUGUGACGGUUUCAAAUCCUUCCUUCAAGUUGUGAGCAUGAUUUCAAAAAUAGAAGUAUAUUUGCAAAGGAUAUACGAUAUUGGGGUAUGUCAGUCUUAUUUGCACUUUGGGUGUGAAGGAAUUCAAAUGUUGCGAUGUUUAUAAUUUGUUGUGCAUCUCGAUCAAACAUUCUGAAUGUUGCUACAGCUAUGUCAUUAGAGACUUUCAAUUGUAUCCUCAACCUAAAAGAUAUUUUUAAAAUUUUAAUAUUUAUUUAAUUAUGUUAUAAAAAAUAAUUCAUUAUAUACAAAAUAUUAAAUCUUGUUGUUGGAUACUUGGAUGGUUGUUUGCAUUCUGUACAAGUGUAUUGAUUUUCCUCUUUUGUAACUUUCUUUUGGCAUCUCUCACAUGCAACAUAAUUCCAACCAAACGUAUAGUUGAUCUCAUUGAUUGUUGCAUGAAUUGUGAACAUAUUAUCCUGUUAUUUUAUAUAUGUUAAAACUAAGAAAAAAAUAAAGUAUUAUUAAAUAUGAAUAUGAAGGUCAUGGUAGGUUAGCAUACUUGUGAUUCUUAUAUUCAUUCUUAUAUCUUGCAAAUAUCUUCUAUUUUUUUACAUUCUCUUGUCAAGAUCAAUCUUGACCGAACUUGAAGAAUUAUAUACAUAAAGAAAAGAAAAGAGAUAGAGUAGUAAGAUAUAUAAAGUGUAAAAUAUAAAUUUUGUUAAAGAUUUUAAAUGUGUGAAAGUAAUCAAACCUCUGAAUUUCUUAACUAUGAUAAAAGUGAUUGUAAUUAUCUUUGAGUCUUCUUCUUAGAUGUUGAUUGUUUUUUCAAAUCCUAAGACUAUGUUUGCCACAAGUAACUUUAACAAUUUCAUUCUUGAAAAUAACCGAUAAAAAAAAGAUGUGAAAAUAUAAUGUUCUAUAUUACAUUCUUCAUUUCCAUGUGAAAAUAUAAAGAAAUAUAUAAUGAAUUCUACAAAAUUAUUACUUAAACAAAAUUUAUAAUUAAUGAUAAAGAAAGGGUAAUUUAUUUACUCUUUUAGUAGCAAUUUCAAUCUCCUUAUUUUUGUUGGUUUGUCAGUGACAAGUACAUCUUCUUCAUUUCCAAGUGCAUGAAGUGUACUAAUAAUGUCAAUAAUAAAAUAUGAGAUAUGAUAGAGUGAAAUAAAUUAGUAAUGCAUUUGCAAAAUAUUAAUGUUGUACUUGUUAAGACAACUCUAUCAUCCAUCUUUGAUCUAGAGUUUUCAUUGAACCAAACUCAACAUAGUGUAUUGGAUGCUAAUGGAUAUGUUAUUGAUUUUCUUGACAAUAGUAGUAAGUAAAAAUAAUCUUUUGAACGAAAAUGCAAAUCGGAUUAAAAUUAAAAAUAUUAAAUAAAUUUAAUCAAUAUAAAAUCUGUUUAAAGUAAUUUAAUUCAAUUUUUUUUUUUUGCAUUUUGUAAUGUGUAAUAUUGGAGAUAGCAAAUAAAAUUAUAUUUGUAAUACUUAAAGUUGAUGUGAAAUAUAUUUCUUUAAAGACUAAUGUGAAAAAUAAAUAAAUUUCAACUUUGUUUAACCAACAUAUUUUUUUAUAGAUUAGUUUGAAAACUAAUUUUAGAUCAUGAACUUUGUUGAUGUGAAAUAUUUAUUUUUUAUAUAUCUUUAUAGAGCAGAAAAUAUAUUAGAAUUUAGAAAUUACUAAUAUGAAAAAAUUGAAUGAUAUGUAAAAUGUAAAAGAAAGUGAUUAUAAAAUACAAUAUAGAACAUUGAAGAAUUUGGGUCUUGAACAUGAGAAGCAUUUGGAGAUCAGUAAGAUUGAAUUGAAAUGAUUUGGUAUAGAUUUUGUUAUGUUGUGAGUAACAUUGAAAAAGAAAGAAUGAAAAGAAAAGAGACGUGAUAAGUACAAAAGUAUAAUGUUCUCCUUCCUCCAUAUCAAUUUUGCUGACAUGACAAUAUAAUAGUCAGGAGGUCAACUUUUAUAUAAAUUAAUUUUAGAUCAUGAACUUUUUUUAUGAGAAAUAUUUAUUUUUAUUUAUAUUUAUAGAGCAUAAAUAUUAAAAAAUAGAAAUUACUAAUAUGAAAAAAUUGAAUGAUAUGUAAAAUAUAAAAGAAAAUGAUUAUAGAAUGUAAUAUAGAACAAAGAAUGAGAGUCAUGAACAUGAGAAAAAUUUGAAGGUCACUAAUAUUGAAUUAAAAUAUUUUGGUAUAAAAUUUUAUUAUGUUGUGAGUAACAUUGAAGAAGAAAGAAAAAAAAAGAUUGACCGACACAAAAGAAGAAUAUUCUCGUUCUUCCAAGUCAUUAAAUUUACUUACUUAAUAUGAGGAAUUCAACUUUUAUAUAUUAUAAAUAAAUUGUCAAUAUAUUAUUUUUAAGAGAUUUAUCACAAUCAUAGUUGGUACUUCCUAAAUAAUAUUUUUUAUAGUAGUGUAUUUUUAGUUACUUAGAUGGCAUUACUAGGGAAUAUUUUGGUUAAAUGAAAUAGAAUAAAAUAAAUUUUAAAAAAAUAUUUAAAUUAAAAUAACAUGAUUAAAGUGUGAGACUCGUUGAAAUUUCUGAAAAUUUUCCUUUUUUUCUUUGUAGAGAAAGUAUAAAAAAACAAAUUGACUUCUAAAAUUUUUCAUAAUUUCUUUGACUUUCUUUCCCAUUAAAAUUUGAAACUUUUUUUUUCCUCUUGUUUUCCUUUCUUCAAAUCAAAAGGAUCAUAAGGUCUAAUAGCUUGAAUAUUUCAUCACAAUUCUGCCACCCGUGAAGACGAUAGAUGGAGAAAAAUUGUAAGAUGUAAUAACGUUCCCACGUACGGGGACCAGUGCUAUUGUAUACUAUUUCCAUGUUGUACAGUUCAAUUCUAUUAUUACGAUUUGUGAUGUAAUCCCUUACAUCACUUCUAAAUACUAAACUCUAAGCAAUUAAUUAACGAUGGAAGUCUUCUCGACAGCGAAGGUAUUUUUUUUUUCUAUUUGUUUCUGGAUUGUUCUCAUGAUUUUAGUGCAAAAAAAAAAAAAAAAACCUAAUACAAAAUAAUUCUUAGUCAACAUCGCGUAGGCUGAAUAUUAUAUUAUACUAAAAUAUUGUACUAAAAUAAUCUUUCUAGCUCUAUAUAUAGCCCACCAAGCCUUAGCAAUUUGAGAACAAAACAAGUGUUUCGAAUAGAUUAUCCUAAGUCUUUGGGAAUAGUGCUGCAAUGGCUUCAAGUCAGGAGGAGGUGACCCUUUUGGGAGCUACUGGAAGCCCAUUUGUGUGCAGGGUUCAUAUUGCCCUCAAGUUGAAGGGAGUUGAAUACAAAUAUGUCGAAGAAAAUUUGAGGAACAAGAGUGAACUGCUUCUCAAAUCCAACCCAGUUCACAAGAAGGUUCCAGUGUUUAUUCACAAUGAGAAGCCCAUAGCAGAGUCUCUUGUGAUUGUUGAAUACAUUGAUGAGACAUGGAAGAACAACCCCAUCUUGCCUUCUGAUCCUUACCAAAGAGCCUUGGCUCGUUUCUGGUCCAAAUUCAUUGAUGAUAAGGUAAUUCAACUUUUCUUCUUUCCUUGUUUUGUUCUUAUUUGUCCCCUAAACACCACCUUUCAUGAUAUCUAUUUGUAUGUUGGAAUAAGUUAGAGAAACAUUUAAAAAAAAAAUUGAAUAAAUUCUAUUCAUUAAUUGUAACAACUUUGUCUAAAAUCGUAUUAAUUGGGGUGGGGUAUUAUAUAUGUUUCACAGUUGGUUGUACAGAAAUAUCAGCAACACAAUUUUUAACAUGCCUUUUUUUCAAUCAUUUUCUAUUAUUAAUUAAAAUUUAUUAAAAAUAACAAGUUUAAGUGAAUCACACUUUUAAAUCUUUCCUAAUCUUGUAAUUUUUAAUCAACUUUAUUCAAUAGUAUAGUUGUUAGAAAGAGUGUAGAGAUUGUUUUGCUAGCAGUUAGCACUACUUUUUAUGCUAUAUAUAUAACCCAGUUAAGUCUGUCCUAAUUAUAAUAUAAAUUAAGCACUAAUAAAUACUGUGAUUUAUGAAAUAGGUUUUUGGUGCUGCAUGGAAAUCCGUUUUCACAGCUGAUGAGAAAGAGCGUGAGAAGAAUGUUGAGGAAGCAAUUGAGGCUCUGCAGUUUCUUGAGAAU
RNAcentral lists this long non-coding RNA (61175 nucleotides) under Glycine max (soybean). Its description in RNAcentral is "long non-coding RNA (GMAX_LNC001493)". Lineage: Eukaryota; Viridiplantae; Streptophyta; Magnoliopsida; Fabales; Fabaceae. The record is from RNAcentral.